AGAAGAUCCCUCUCGGAUACAAGACCCCUUUACGGGAAGAUACCCUCGUGGAUUCAAGGCCUCCUCUUGGAGAUGAACGGUUCCGUUGUAUCCUUACCCUAGUUGACUAUGUAUCUUGUGGAUCUCAUGUGUGUAUGUUGAUCUAGCACUUGUGUGAUCGAUUCCUUGUUGGUUGAGUGAUUCCCUCUCGUUUUCCCCGUGUUUCCCCUUGUGCUUCCGCGUGUUCUUCGUGUUUCCUCCGUAGGAUCCCCUCCAAACGUGAAAGAUCGACGAAUUAGGGUUCCACCCUACAUCAUAUGGUAUCAUGAGCCACGUUGAUCACGUUUUUGGAGCCCCUACCCCGUGUUUUCUAGCUUGAUUUUGUUGUUUUCGUCCUAAAUCCGAAAAUCCCCACCAAAAAUAGCCCCAAUUUUUUUUGUGAUUUGUUGGUUUGAUGAUGUUUUGUUGAUUUUGAUCCAUGGAUUUGCUUGGUUUCAAGUGGAUCUAGCUUUCCCCCAAGUUUCCCCACCUUCCAUCCACGAAAUCCCUCAAAUUUUGCCCCGAAAAUCAUCCAUUUCCGCCCAAAAAUUCAUCUCCACGAGCAAAUCCCGAGCAGUUUGACCUGCCCGGAUCAUCCGGACCUUCUCCCGGAUCAUCCGGACAUCCCCCGGAUCAGCUGGACGCCCCCCCGGACGUCCGGAUACCCCACGCACCCAGAAAACAGAACCGGCGCUGACGAACCCGGAUCAUCCGGAAGUACUCCCGGAUCAUCCGGACCUAGCCCGGAUCAUCCGGACCUCCUCCCGGAUGUCCGGUUAACCCUGACACUGCUUCGGCUGAAAUUUUGUUUUGGUCAUAACUAAUUCAUCCGAACUCCGAUUUUGACGUUCUUUAGCUCGUUCUGAAGCUCUUGACACCCCCCAUCCCACAAAAAUACCACCAACAUCAUUUGACUCCAUCAUAUUUUCUGAAAUUUGGCAAGUUUGCCUAGGCCCUCCACCAUAUCACCCGCAUAGCCACCACCGACUUCCGCAACCUAACCCAUUUUUGUUCCCCAUUGCAUAUGUGGUUGUUUGAGUUGUGACUAGAGUCUCCUAAGGUGUUUCGGCUACUUAGGGACAAUUGCUUCUUCAUCAACCACCACCACCACUUCCGCAUAGGCGCGCCCACCAUACACUUCCACCACCCCCAACUUAACCCAAUAGUUGUUUGAGCUUGUUUGAGUUGUGGCUUGUGUCUCCUAAGGUGUUUCGGCUACUUAGGGACGGCAACUUCAACUCCGACACGUGUAUAGCCCAUCAUUCAUCCGCAUUGCCUAGUGCAACACCACCACCGCUUUCCGCUACCACCAUUUGACAUUUGUCAUUUGAGAUUUUGAGUUUGCGGUUUUUCCGUUUCCUAAGGUGUUUCGGCUACUUAGGGACGAGUCUCCAUCUUCUUGGUAUCUACACCAAGAACACCACCACUCAUCAUCGCAAAGGACGGUAACCUCGACGACACCAUUGUAUAUUUCCCUUGCAAUUGCAUUGUUAACCCCUAGCCCAUUUUGCAUCACUUACCUAUCGAGACUAGCCAUUUGAGUAUUGCUGGCAACGUUACUUGUGCACAUUAGUGGUCCAUACCUUCCAUUGCAUACAUACCAUAUCAUAUUGGUAUCAUAUCAUACAUAGUGUCACAAUAUCGUUCCCGCAUAUACACAAUUGCUAUCUUGGUUUGUGCAUUGUGCAAAAGUGGCCUUAGAAAAAAAAGAGAAAAAAAGCUUUUAAGCAAAAAGAGAGCAAAGAGCUCGUGAGCAAGUGCCAUAGCAUCAUAUCCCAUUGCACAUAAGAUUGUCAAAUCUACAUCAUAUGAUAUCAUGCUUGAGAGAAACACCGGGAACCAUACAUACAUAGCAUACUUGGGAUAGAAGUUUAUCCAUUUUGCAUCUUAUAGGUUGUGCACAAGUGUCGUAUCCGCCUAUUGAGCAAUCGUGCUAGCGUCUCUCUUGAGUUGUGCAACACGAGCGUUUUGGUGGAUUCCACAUUUUGAGCUCAUUCCUUGGUUGCACGACCCCAUUUAUCUAUCCGUGUGUGUGUUUCCGUGUGCCAUUCUUUGCUAUUGGUCCAUUUGUUUCACUUGCGAAUUUGUGAAUCUUUUUCAACAUUAUUGACUCUUGCUAACAUUUUGCAUUAAAUUUUUGUGCCACUAUCCUCACCGAGCUCCACUAUAAGCUUUACUUGUGUAGGUGUGAGAACCGACAAGGAUUGGUACCAAUAGUGCUAUUUCAUUGUCCACAUUUGAGUGAACUUGAUUCAUCUUCAACUUUGGUCAAAGGUACAUUGGUAUACGUUCUUCUCUUUCUCCCACUCAUAUUUGCUCGAGUCUUGUGAUGGAUAGGCAAGGCAUUCCCUCUCCGGUCUACGACAACAACGACGGCGUGAACAACUACAUCUCCAAAGCGUCUAUCUUCGAUCAUAAACACAAAUGCAAGGCGCACAAUCAAGAUUGCGAGAGUGCAUCGAGAACAUAUCCAUCGACAUUCGUCACUCCGAAGCAAGGAAAAGGGACUACAUCGACAAGAAGCUUGCCGCACAUAAAGAGGAGCAAGAUCCAAGGAUGGAGGAGAUUAGAGCUUUGAUCAAGUCUUCUUCCACUUCAUCAUCCUCAAGACGACGACGGUCAAGCCACAAGUCUUCGGAGCGCGAAAAAGAUGCAAGUGCAAAUCAUCCUCGUCCACAUCUACAUGGCGAUCAUCAUCACGUUCACGAUUCACAUCGUCAUGAAGGCCAAGUCACCUCCAAGCAACAUGUGCAAGACGACGACGAACGACAUCUACUACGAGCUCAAGCACGACAACGACAUCAUCAUCAUGAAGAUGCUCCACAAGCGCAAAUGCACAAGUCCCAACAAGACCUACUUCACGCCAAGUCCAAGCUUCAAGAGCACAAAAGAAGACCGCGAGACGACAACCACCAAGACGGCGCUACGGCUACAUCAACCACUUCGGCAUCUUCGCCAAGUGUUCUCAAGGCAUCUUCACCUUUGGACGUAUGGCAUCUUCGCCUACUUCCCACGAGUACGGCUACAUCGACUUCAUCAAGUCCAAGGCGACUACCUACGAAAGAGGGUGACACUUCCAUCUUUGGAAGCCCCUCAAGGACGAUGGCCGAGCAUGGGACAUUCCCUUCGGUCAUGGAGACGAGCUAUGAGGUGCCACAUCAUAUGGGCCUCCAACCACAAGACGGUGACAAGAAGGUUGAGCAUGGGACUAUCCCUUCAACCAAGGCGACGAUCGGAGUUGAGCAUGGAGACAUUUGCACCUACAUCCCUCCGACACCCACAUAUGUCGAGAUGCCCCAAGUGCCAUGUGAGGAGAGCCACCACCCCAUGAGUGACAUGAGUGACUUCACCAUACGUGACAUUGAGAGCAUUUCCUAUGAGAGGAUGAGUGUGACCACCACUAGCCCCACACAUGAGAGCAUGCCACACAUCCUAUGUGAGGUUGAGCGCCAUUUGAGUGACUCCACCAACCAUGUGAGUGAGAGCAUCCUUGAGGGAGGGAGUGAACCACAACACUUAGUGAGUGAGAUAGUUGACACGGCAUGUGAGGCCACUUUGAUUUCUAACGACUUAACCUCUACUCCUAGUGUGUUUUCUUCUUUGGUGCUAGGUCUCCUACAUGACGAGAUGCCUAUCCUCGACGAGUCCAUCCCUCCAAUGGAAACACCGAUGGCCAUGGUGGAUGAUGAUGCACCCCCCACAUGGUUCCAUCAAGAUAACGAUGACCAUGACUUGAUCUUCAACACCUCACCUACAACACAUGAGCGGCGCUCCAAAGGUAACAUAGGUGAUGGUGAUUCUCUUGUUCCACUAGUGGACUCUCUUGACAUUGAUUGCUCCCAUGAUGUUGACCCACCUAUUGCCAUGCUUCAUGCUAGUGAAACUUCUUCAUGCCUUGACUUACCUAUUUAUGAUGAAUAUGAUGAUGAGCAUGUUGAGUUGCCUAGUUGUGAUGCUAUGCUUCAUAGGAUAAAAUGUGAAAAUUCUAUUGGUCACUUCAUGUUUGACAAUCAAAUGAACUUGUCAUAUGCUAUGAGUGAGAUCUCCCAUAUUGCAUCAUUUCAAUCUCAACAUAGUAACUAUGCAUGCCCCAUUAAAAUAAAUCCUAUUUGCACUUAUGGCAUAGAUGACGAGAUGAUGGUCAUUGGCUUUUGUUUUUCAUGUGAUGAUAUUGCCAUGCUUCCUUUACAUGAUUUGCGCAAUUCAUCCAAUAUGUCAUGCCAUGAUCACAUUGCUCCAAAUAUGCAUUGUUUUGGAUGUUGUCAAUAUUCUCCACGUGAUGUUGCUACUCAUGCUCAUGAGGAGACCCCCAUAGUUUCCUCAUACAUAUUAGGAGAUCUUGAUGCAUUUCAUACUUUGCAUGAUUCCCAUGAUAGUAUGCACCAUAUGCAUUCCAUGAAUAACAAUGAUCUAGAUAUUACUUGUGAUGCAUUACAUCCUUUGAGUCUCCAUUAUGACAUACAUCAUAACAAACCUAUCAUUAUGGAUGACAUGUUUCUAUAUCACGCAUCUCAUUUAUUUGAGAAUUGGAUAUUUGGUGCUAACCAACACAAGCACGUAUGCAUCAUGAUGGAUGAUGUGUACAUCUACCACGCACACACAAUUUUCCCUUUGCCCUUGUUUUGUGUAGGUACUCAUGUAUACUCGUCGACCUCUCAAUCCCAAGAGUUGACGAAACGAGCUCUUGAGAGCAAUGAUGACUUGGGAUCCCGAGGACUAUCCUUACCACCGUCCCCUUCGUGCAAGGACUACGCGCAACUCCUCUACUUGGCUCUCACACGGCUAUGGGCCAGUUACCAUUUGUCACCUUAUGCUCAUUUUACCGUGUUCACUUUGCAUGCUAUGCUAGCUUCUAUGCCUUUGCCAUGCAAUUGUGACCCUUGCUUGCAUUUACCCAUGAUGAACCAUUAUGAUAUCCCAUUGUGUAUUUGCAUGCUUGGUGGAGAUCCUUGUUGCUAUUGCCAUGUUUAUCAUGUGCCCCAUACUAUUGAUACUUGUUGUGUUGGGAGAGUCAUGAUGCCCCAUUGCUAUUUACAUAUGGUCUCUCGCCAAUACAUUGAUGACAUUUUACUCAUAUCUUGCUUUCAUGCUUGCGCUAUGACAUGUGAAGUAUUCAUGCCCACUAUUUGCACACAUGACAUGCUUGCCAUGAUUCCUUCUAGUAUGUUGCAUCUUCGCACAACUAGCUGGCUUGACUUGAUCACUAUGAUUGCUUGCUAUGUUGCAUCACCCAUGUUCCACUAUUACUUGCUUUCUUGGGUUGAUGACAUAUAUGCUCAUGCCUCACACUUGAUUUGUCAUGAUCAUUGUCUCUUGUCUCCAUUAGUUGCAUAUAUUGAGUGCCAACUUGCUAUGCUUCUUGAUCUCGGAGACUUGGACACUAUACUUGUGAUGCAUGCUUGUUUGAUUGAGCCUCUUGUAUUUGGAUGUUCUUACAUAAUAUGCCUCCAUACUUUGAAAUGCUCCCUUGUACUUUCUUAUGAUGAGCACGAUGCAUACACUUGUUGGGUAUCUUACCACACGAAUGAUGGGUUUUGCCAUUUUGCUACCCUCAUUUGUUUUUCCAAGUGUUUGUCAUGUUCUUUCAUUUUGAAGGAUUUACAAGGCGGGACCACCACGAGACAUAUUGGUUAUGCGAAGGCAUACAUGAUGUGCGACACCAACAUUUUCGACAUUCUCAUAAAGGUGAACUCCUUCUCUUUGAGCCAUCCUCAAAUACGCAUAUUGGAUGGGUCUCUCUUUCAUUGUUGUUUCCUUCUUGUUGUCUACAUGAUACAUCUCGUGAACGGAGGAGCGACAUUGGAGAUUAGCUACAUGGACCUUCACCUUGAGGAGCGCUCACACUUCUUGGAUGCACCUUCGACACUCCACUCAUGCCUCGACAUCGAGCUUUGGUACACCAACACCUUCAUAUUUGUUGAUUAUGCUCAUACAUGUCAGGCUCGAUGGACAUAUCAUACUUACCACAAGUUUGCACCUCAUGCGUGGACUGACUCACAUUAUGAUUGCCUUGUUGCAUCUUGUAUUCCCAUGUCAUCCAUGAUAUAUGAGCUUAUGCAUUUCCUUAGCAAAUUUGUUGUGGUCUACCUCGAUGGCAUAUUCAUAUAUCAUGAUCAUAUUGUCCAUCAUCAAUUGCAUGAUAACUUAUACAUAUUGAGCAUCCAUUGCCAUAUUCAUGCUAUUGAUAAACCGUCCCUCUAUGACAUCAUUUUGCACAAUGGUAGAAUUUGUCACUUUGUGCACCAUGCUAAUUAUCCCAUGAAUUCUUUGCAUAUCAUUCUAUAUCAUCUUGAUAAGCAUCAUGCGCUUUGUCACGCACUAUCCCUUCGCACGGACUCACACUUAAUUGAUGGACACUUUGUGCGCGCUAACCAUUGUAUUUCCAAGUGUACUUUGUGUUUGCUCAUUUUGCAUGUACCACAUACCGGAGACACCUUGGAGUACUUGGAUUGCGCAAGGCCUUCACCUACGUCCCACUACAAGUCCGUCCACGACACCCGUUUCCAUGGUGAUGAGGAUCACGAUCCGAGGUCGGAUCUUUCCCAAGGGGGGGGGAUAUGAUGUGGAGCAUCCCACGUUCAUCCCCAUGUACACUCCGACUACUCUCCAAGCCCCAAGGAUACAUAAGAUGAGACCGCGACUAUGCGCCAUUGGACACAAGGUGAAUUCACUCCUCUUCGAACCGUCACUUUCCGCAUGUGAAGCACGGCUACUACCUCAUGCAUGGACCUUGCCUAUACUCAGGUACAACCGAGAUGAUCAUGGAGAGUCCAAGGAUCAAGGCCAAGCAUGGAAGAGGAGAAGGAAGAAGAAGACGGAGCGGCUGCUGAAGCCAGGCCGGACAUCCGGACCGCAGUCCGGAUCAUCCGGGCCCAGCCGGAUCAUCCGGACCACCGUCCGGAUCAUCCGGGCCCAGCCGGAUCAUCCGGACCCUCCCCCGGAUCGUCCGGGUAGCUGCGCCAUAGACAACAGAAGCUCCUCGACGAAGCCGGAUCAUCCGGACGGUCGCCCGGAUCAUCCGGACCCCCGACACCCGGAUCAUCCGGGCCACCAUCCGGAUCAUCCGCACCCCGCCUGUGUGCGCGACUUGGGCUGAGCCCAUGUACCCCUUCGCCCCCUAGUCUAUAAAUAGGACCCCCGCUCCUCACUUUGGGACUUAGCGUUGGUUUAGCUCAUGUUAGAGAUAGAGCUACGCUCAUCUAUCGGAUCUCCUCCUCGUGAGAGACCGCGGCCUCCGUCUAGGAGAAGAUCCCUCUCGGAUACAAGACCCCUUUACGGGAAGAUCCCCUCGUGGAUUCAAGGCCUCCUCUUGGAGAUGAAUGGUUCCGUUGUAUCCUUACCCUAGUUGACUAUGUAUCUUGUGGAUCUCAUGUGUGUAUGUUGAUCUAGCACUUGUGUGAUCGAUUCCUUGUUGGUUGAGUGAUUCCCUCUCGUUUUCCCCGUGUUUCCCCUUGUGCUUCCGCGUGUUCUUCGUGUUUCCUCCGUAGGAUCCCCUCCAAACGUGAAAGAUCGACGAAUUAGGGUUCCACCCUACAUCACUUGGAGUCCAACCAAUGAUGAUAGUUCGGCUAUCCGGACACCCCCUAGUCCAGGACUCCCUCAGUACCCCUGAACCAGGCUUCAAUGAUGACGAGUCCGGCGUGCAUAUUGUCUUCGGCAUUGCAAGGCGGGUUCCUCCUCCGAAUAAUCCAUAGAAGAUUUUGAACACCAGGAUAGUGUCCGGCUCUGCAAAAUAAAUUCCACAUUCCACCGUAGAGAGAAUAAUAUUCACACAAGUUCUAUCUGCUGACGUAUUUCGUGGCAUGACGUCACACCACGGCCAAGUCUUUACUCGAAUCGUUUUUAUUGUUCCACCUCAGCGCGUUUAGCGAAGCGGUUUCCUUGGCACAUCUUGUCAAAGCAGAGAUCAUGUCCCCUUAUUCCGGGAUUCUCAUCAAUACGUACGUGGGUAACCCAACUGCGCCCGUUGGCUCGCCCCCUCCAUCGAAGGCGAGUCCCAAACGGUUACGGGGACGACUCUUGGUAUUCAACCCCUUUAUAAUGAGACCAAGGCCUGUUCCUUUUCUUCAAUCUUCAAUCGAAUCCGCCCCUCACCCCGAGUUCCAACACCCAAGGCUCCAGAUUCAGGCGCUUCGGACCUUUGACAAUGUCCGGCUCCGACCUACAGGGCCGGUGGAUGCCCUCUUCUGUCACGGAAGAAGAUGUGCUAAAGCUGAGAGACGCUAGGUAUCUAACUGGCGAAAUUUCGCAUAGGCUGCCCGUCCAAGGGCAAGUCAUUCCCACUCCUGAGCCUGGUGAGAGCGUGGUGUUCGUGUCUGACUUCCGUCGGGGUUUAGGCUUCCCGGUGGACCCCUUCGUGAGGGGGCUCAUGUUUUAUUAUGGGCCGGAAUUCCAUGACUUGGAUCCGGAGUCCAUCCUCCACAUCUCAUCGUUCAUUGUCGUAUGCGAAGCCUUCCUCCACACCACUCCUCACUUUGGAUUGUGGCUGAAGACCUUCAACAUGGAGCCGAAGAUGAUCGAGGAGCGGCAGGCAGAGUGCGGAGGGGCAGUUAUAAGCAAGAGAGCUGACGCUCCGUGGCCCGAGGGCUUUUUUCAAAAGGAGCUCGGUUUGUGGCAACAGGAGUGGUUCUACAUCACCGCUCCCAGGGGCACCAGAUUGGUGGCGCCGCCUGCCUUUCGCUCGGGCCCUCCACAACGGCUGGCGUCAUGGGUCAACAAAGGGCUUGACUGGGGGCCGUCCAAGGAUGUGCCAUUAUUGCAGGGCCGUAUUCGAGACCUCCAAGAGAGGGAGAUCAAUCUGGUUGUGGUGGCGCAGGUCAUGCUGAUUCGGCGCCUUCUGCCCUGCAAACGUCGCCCCCUCCGCCUGUGGGUAUUCAAUCCGGAGGGACCGCGAGCUCUCCAACACUUCAUGGGUGCGACGCCCGUGGAGAUGUAUAAACUGUUCCUCGGAUCACAAGAGAUGUGUCCGGACCUGACCGAGGACGCAGGCCUGAGCUGCAAAAGCCCGGAUACUCAAGUAAGUAGUCCUGUGCCCGGACAUGUUGUCCAUGCAUUUAUCAUAAACUUGCCCUUUAACCAGCUAUCCCUUGAACAUGAGUGGAUAGCAAAAGCAAAACUGAUACGGUGUUCGGCCCCCCUCCCUGAGAUCACGCCGGAUCCCGUGUUAAUCAAGAUGCUGGAGGCUGCGCCUUCGGAAGAGGGCGAAGGGGAAAACAGGAAAGCUACCGCCUCCGCUAGGGAGGCUCUUAAGAAAGGGGGGAUCGAGAAUCCCUCCUUCCAGGGGGAGAAGAGGACCGCUUCUAAAGAUCCGGAGGCCAAGGCCUCAAAGCGGGGGAAGAAAUCUUCAGCAGAGGGCCCUGCGCUAGGAGAAGCCCCGGCCGCACUGUUUCCCCAAGGGAAUCAGCCCUCCAGCGAGCCGUAAGUAGAAAGGGGAGUUUUGUAAUAAGGGAUAUCCCUAUUUUUAUUUCUGAAGAUAACCAAAGUUUUACCUUGUAGUUCGGAUCUCAGCCCUUCUCAGCAGAGCUCAUCUUCGGGGGAUCUUCGUCCGGAGAUGAUGGAGAGUGAAACGCCUCCAUCUGCCACACCGUUAGGUGGGGCAGACGACCCUGAGGUGUCGUCGUGGAGGGUCUCCCCGAGUCCGGCGGGGCCGGAGAGUUUGGCACCAACUGGUGUACGGCCGGAGGAGCUGAAGGAUCUGCUCGGGCGUGCGUCUAUCUCAGAAGAUCACCGUACGUUGAUGAGUACGGUGAUUGAAAGGAUUUCAUCCGCUCAGAGCGGGUUGCAUGAGGCCGUCAGAAGUUUACUGACGGGUUUUGAGGUACGCGAAAAUGAUAUACCGUUUGACAGUUUUGCACAUAGAAUGCGCCCUGUAUAGAUAGUAGCCCUUGAGACUCGGUACGUUGUCAAAAGCGACAACGUGUCGAGGAUCAUAAUCUCAGUUAUAAGAUUUCGCCCUUCCUAUUCAGGUGGCGGAGCGUUCGGUGGCCAGCCGGACUGAUAGAGUUGCCGAACUGAAGCGGCAACUUGACGUUGCGGAUGCGGACAUCACGCUGGUCAAUAAAUGACUUGAUGAGUCACAAGGUAUGUGGCUUCUCCGCGGACGCCUUGUAAGGGAGAUUGACGCCCGUGCCUUACAACAUGUAUGCUUAAUGCAGAUGGCGCCGCUGCUAUGGAGGACCUUCGGGCGGAGCUUGCCCGAGCCAAGGAGCAAGCCAGAAAAAGUAAUGCGGCUGCCUUGAAGGCGGCCGAAGAGCUAAAAGCCGAACAGGCUGCUCACUGCCGAAGCAGGGAGGAAAUGGCCGAAAUGGCCGUGAAGCUGAAGGAUGCUACCGACCGCUAUGAGUUUCUUAAAAGAGAACGCCGAGCGGAGCAAGAGGACCUGAAGAAGGCCACCGCCGAAGCCAAGGAUGCCCGCUCCGCAAUGAGGGCUAUAAAGGAGGAGCUACGUCAGGCCGGGGAUAUUGCGGCUGGAAAGCCUUUUCUGCUGCGUAGGAAAUUCAUGGAUCCGAAGUAUGCUCAGUUGGGCCAGUUGUGGGGUGCGGAUGAUGCUUAUCUGAAUUUGGCGGCGAGUGCCGCAGACGCAGUCGCACACUUCCAGGGCCAAAAGGAUCACGGAAUGGAAGAGCUUUUUUGGUCGCAAUUCCAUAGUUCGGAGCAUCCGCUUCCAUUAACCGAUCGGUUAGCCGAGUGGGCUGAGCUGAAUAGGUUGUCCAGACUUGCCAUGAAGGAUGUCGUGGCUCAUUUGUGGCCGAAAAGGCCCGAGCCGAAGAGUUAUUUUGGCUUGGUGCAGCAGUUCCUUGAUGCGGUGCCGCAUAUCAAGGCGAUGAAGCGGUCAGCAUGCAUAGAGGGUGCACGGAUGGCUCUCGCCCGUGUCAAAACAUACUGGGCAGAGAUGGAGGCCACCGACGUUGCAUCCCAGGACUCGGACAGAAGCCGGUUACCAACCGAGCACUAUUUUGAGGAAGUCCUGCAGGGCGCUCGUUUAAUAGAGUCGUAGUGCUCGAAAAACGUUAUGUUCAAAUGACAUGUAUGAUUUGUGAAACCAUGUUUCAAAUAUAAUAUAAGGGCUUUUUAUACUUGGGCGUUCAAGUGUUGAAAUACCUCCUGUGCGGCCGUUAACGUAUAUGUAUAUAUAACCUGAAAGAUGGCAGUCCUCGGCUUCAGCCCCCACGCACAUAGUGCGGGGGUGUUUGCAAAAAAAGCGCAUUUUCACACUUAAUUCAACGUCUUGGUCCUGUGAAGGAGGUGAUAGAGUAGCAAACUAGGUAACCAGACUAUAAUGCUUUAUCACUUUCACUUAGCCAUAAGAGUUCGAUGGUGGGGCUAGUAUAUAGCCCCUAGGGGCACUGCGCUCUCCGAAUUUCGGGGCGCGUAUGUGCCUGACCGAGAAACGGUCCUUUGUUAAAGCGGAGGAAUUCUAAACAUUCCGGUGGUUGAUCGAGUGGUUGACCAGUCUCUCGCUAUAUCAUGACAGUCUGUUUUCGGCUUUCUCUACUGAGGUGCUCACCUGGGCGAACCGGGGCACAAUCGCAGUAGUUCUCCUGGUGCCGCGUUAGCCGAUAGAGCGGAACGUAAGGCAGCAAAACACAGGAGCCGGGCAAACCCAACAUUUGACCAAAGACAUGAUUCGGAGCUGAUGCAUAUAAGGCCUAACUCGAGACGCCGAACACUCCCUAAGGUAUUCGGUCUUUAUGAAAAUGGGCAGAACAAUGCCCUAAGCCCCUAGUGUCCAGGUACGCGCAAAAAUUUCUGACGCGGCCGAUGCCAAAACGCCAGAUUCCUCCUCGGUUAUAGCAAAAAACCGGGGGAUGUGUAUCAACAAGAGACAGUAAAAAAGCUUUACGCAGGGUCUUAAUCUGAAAAGAAUCCUUUCAUCGGGUCCCUACUGCACGUCUGCGCCUGUGUCUCCGUUGUGCCGUAUCCCGGACGGGUGUCGCACGGUGUUCAUCUGUAAAAGAGAAGAACUUAGUUGGAAAAGAGUCCGUGCGAAAGAUGUUUUUUGAAAUAAAUAGAGUAUGAUUCAAAGAAUGAAUAAAAUUGAGCUUUAUUGUCUCUUUUUGUGCAUGCGUGGAGCCCCUUGUAAAGGGGUAUGCGACUAGUAAGCCCCUUGUUUAUUUAUACCGGACUCGCCUAACCGUGUCCGGGGUCUGAAUGACCUGUUUAGGGGCUUUGAUCAGCAAAGCCGGAUUAGUGUGUGGCUGUCAAGGCAGUCUCACGUUCUUCCGUAGUCGAGGAACACUCGAAGUUACCCUUUAAUGAGAUGAUGCCGCGUGGACCGGGCAUUUUAAGUGUAAGAGACACGUAAUGCGGUAUUGCGUUAAAGCGGGCGAAAGCUUCGCGUCCCAAUAGUGCUUGAUAGCUACUUUUAAAUGGGGCGAUGUGGAAGAUUAACUUUUCGCGACGGAAGUUGUCGGAUGAACCGAACACAACUUCUAGUAGUAGGGAGCCCGUACAAUUGGCAUAUGGGCCUGGCGUCACUCCUUUAAAGGAAGUGUUGCUAUGGCGAAUUUUGGUUGGGUUUAUCCCCAUUCUGCGGAUUGUGUCCCGGUAUAGCAGGUUUAAAUCACUGCCGCCGUCCAUUAGGACUUGUGUAAAUUGUAGUCCGUCGAUUAUAGGAUCCAAUAUCAAAGCAGUCCAUCCUGCAUUUCGGAUACUUCCGGAGUAAUCCUGAUGGUCGAAAGUUAUUGGUUUUGACUCCCAGUUUUGGGACUUCGCUGGGGUGAACCGUGCGGCGCGUACUUUGGUGGGCGCCACUCUAUUUUUCCCUGUUAUCACUUGAAGUGAAUUUACUGUUUUGACCUCUUGUAGGAAAUUCUUUUGUUUUCCGGUGCUCUGCUUGUGGGGUUCAUCAUCGUCCCCACUUGGUGUGUCGAGCCUCUUGUGUUCGGCGUUAAGUCGGCCGGACUGCUUGAAGACCCAACAAUCUCUGUGGGUAUGGUUUGCAGGCUUCCCGGGGGUACUGUGGAUUUGGCAUAUCUUGUCCAAGAUUUUGUUUAGGUUAGAUAGCUCAUCGCUGUUGUCCUUGAGAGGCAGUGUUUUGUUAUUCUGCCGAGAGCUUUUGAACCCGGCGUUGACUGCCGUUCUCUUUGGGCCAUUUUCCUUAGUCCGGCACUGGUCCUUUCUGCGUCGUGGUUUCCCAUUUCCAUCCCUGACCUCGGAUGUACUUGGGUCGCUGGUGCUGCAUCUUGCCAGCCAGCUAUCCUCUCCCGCGCAAAAGCGGGUCAUGAGGCUUGUUUGUCCAGCCAUUGUUCUUGGCUUUUCCUGGCCGAGGUGUCUGGCGAGCCAUCCGUCUCAGAAGUUAUUCUUGAAGGCUGCUAAGGCUUCGGCGUCCGGACAGUCGACUAUUUGGUUCUUUUUGGUGAGGAACCUAUUCCAGAAUUUGCGGGCUGACUCUCCGGGCUGUUGAGUUAUGUGACUUAAAUCUUCUGCAUCUGGAGGGCGGACAUAAGUCCCCUGAAAAUUUGCCCGAAACGCAUCCUUGAGCUCUUCCAAACUUCUAAUGGUAUUUUCUGGGAGACUUUUGAGCCAAUGCCGGGCUGGCCCUUUGAGCUUGAGGGGUAAGUAUUUUAUGGCGUGGAGGUCAUCUCCUCUAGCCAUAUGUAUGUGCAGGAUGUAAUCCUCAAUCCAAACUCCAGGGUCUGUUGUUCCGUUGUAUGCCUCUAUAUUUACGGGCUUGAAUCCCGUUGGAAAUUCAUGAUCCAGCACCUCAUCGGUCAAACAUAGGGGGUGUGCAGCGCCCCUGUAUUUGGGUGUGCUAUAAUUUUCAAAUACUCGACGUGUUGUGUUGGCUUCUGGAGCUUGCUUUCUUCGCCCAUAGAUGGAUCUGACCGGGCCAUCCUUUUUGCGAGGAUCCUUAUGUGGAUCACGUGCCGGCUUGUGUGCGGUGCCGCUUGCCGCUCUUUGUUUGUCAUGUGGUCGUCUAUCCGACCGGGCGGCCUCUUUGUUUUUUGAUUUUGGGGGCUCUAAGGCCUCCUCGUCAAAUUCGGGCAAUAGUUUGCGCUUCGGGUAGCUCUUUGCUUGGCGACUAUCGCCGUAUUUGUCCGCGGUCUUGAGUACUUUGCUCCAUCUCAUUCUGAGUACGUCUUCCACUGUUUUGAGCUUCCACUUUUGCUUCUUCAGACUUCGUGCAGCGGUGACGAGCCUUUUGUGGAGGUUCUUCUGCUCCAGCGAUGUGUCCGGCGUGAGAUCAUCCGGACUGUUGUUUUCGUCGGGGAUGGGUUGCCUAUCCAAUUCAUCCUAUUAGGAUGGUUGCUUGGGGGCAUGUUCGUCGUCCACUGGUUCGCCCUACUCUAUGGCUGGGUCUGUAUGGGUGCUGUCGUUGUCGAGGCGGGACUUUGGGCGGCGCUUGCGUCGCCGUUUCGGCUGUUUUCGGGGGAAUUAUCCUUCGCAGCGUCCCGUUGUUCCUCGUUAUCGCUUCCUUUAGGUGUAUCCACCAUAUAUAUAUCAUGAGUUGAGGUGGCUUUCCAGUUGAGGGAGUCCUGGACUAGGGGGUGUCCGGAUAGCCGAACUAUCAUCGUGUCACAUCCCUAGUUCUGGCCUAACCUAUGCUAGCUUCCAUGUGAGCAUCAUGUUUAAAUUCAAAUGAAACUUGAAUUGAGGAAUUUUCAAAAGCCUCAAAAAACCUCUAAAAAUAACCAACAUUUAAAUCUUCUCAAAUGAAUCCAAGAAAAUGUUCCUAUUAUUCUAUAUAAAUAUUGGUAAGAGGUAAAAUUCAAACCAAUAUUUUUGGAGUCAUAGAAAUAUUUAUUUUGGCCAUUUGAAUUAAUCCAAUAACUAUUUGCUUUGGAUUUAUAUUUAAUAUAUAUUAAAUAUGACUCCAAUAAUUCUGGAAGUUUGUGAGUGGCUUUGUAUAUAUUUUAGCAAGCCACAUAAUAAACUACAGAAUUUAUUAAAAUGAUUUAGUUGCUAAACUAAAUCAAAACAGAGGAAGAAAAAUGGAAAACAGAAACUAAAAGAGAUAGAGAGAGAGAAGGACUACCUGGCGCUCACCUCUCAGCCCACCGGCCCAGCUCCUGUUUCGGCCCAGCCCACCAUCGCCUGGCUCCCUGUCGUCUUCCUCCUUGGACAGAAGGACAGGGGCGCGUGCUCGCCGCCUGCUGGCCACGCGCAGGCCACCUCCACCCUGCCUGCUUCACUCCCCCGACGCCCUGAACACGCCACGCACCCCCCCGGGCCCCUCUCUCUCUCCCCGUGCCCUCUCCCUCCUCUGUCUCUCUCCCUCGCCCAUUCCCCGCCAUGGCCGAAGCCUCCAUGGACGCGUCGCCGUAACUCCGCGCCCACAGCCACCACCCCGCCUCGCCGACGCCCCAGGAAGCUCCGCCUCGUCCCCCUCUUCAUCCUCACCCCGACGAAAGGCGCCGGAAGCCCCUGGAUGCCGCCAGCUCCAAUGUUCCCCUCCUCGGCCACCGAGGAUCGCCGCUGUUGAUUUGCCACCGUCUCCACCUCCCCGAGCUCGCUGAGACCAUCUCCGACCCCGCUGUGAGCUCCUGCCCCUUCUCCCCCUCUCCGUUCUCGCUCCCACACGCCGUAGCCGUCGCCCCCUUGUUGACCGAAACCCGCCGCUGCCCGCGCUCGUCGCCGGUGAUGCUCCGGUGACCAUUUGGUCCCGGGCAUGCGCCCAUCAUACUCACCGCACCACGUAGACGCCGUAGGUGCUAAUUGCACAUCGCCACGGCCGCCGCAACAGCGUCCCCGCACGCCCCCAAGCUCCGGCCGCAGCAAAGCUCGUCGCCGGUGCCUCUGUAGGCCACCCCAGCUCCAGCCGCCUCCUCCACUGCAUGCGCCACUCCGCCAGCUCCCGUUAGAUGCUCCCCGCGCGCCAAACCGGACCCCGUAGCGAAAUCCCGAUGCCCUCCGCCGCGUUUUGGUCGCCGCCGGCAGAACUCCGGCAAAGCCGACGUGGCGCUGUCAUUAGCCACUAAUGACGCCCUAACAAACCCCCUUAGCUCACUGACACCUGGGCCCCACGCCCUAACUAAUCUGGGUUUAAUUUCUGUUUAGAUUAGUUUAAUAAGGCGGGACCCACCAGUCAGAGUUGACUAUGCUGAUAUGUCCGUUGACCCGACCCCACCUGUCAGUGUCUCUAAACACCACCGUGUCACUGACCAGUGGACCCCACUAGUCAGGUUUGACCCGGACUAGCCCCAGUUGACUUGAUGACGUCACACCAACGUCAUGCUGACGCAGUUAACCAUUCUCUGGAUUUAAAAUAAUUCAGGAAAUUUCAGAAAAUAGUAUAAACUUCUAAAAAUCAUAGAAAUUCAACCGUAACUCCAAAUGAAAUAAAUUAUAUAUGAAAAAUGAUCAGAAAAAUCCAAUCUAUCCAUCUGUACCAUUUUCAUGCAUGUUAGAACAACUUAUAGCUGCUGUUUAGCACAAAUCAAUUAAAUGGCAUUUAAACUCCCACAUAUGGAGUUUGAAUUUGAACCUAGUGUUCAAACCAACUCCAUUUAACCUGCUACUUGUUGCAUUAGCCCAAAACACAUUCAUAUUGCCAUGUCAUAGCAUGCAUCAUAUUGCUGCAUAUCGCCAUGUGUUGAUUGUGUUCUUUCUGUGUUUGCCGGUGGUUGUUCCCUCUCGAUAGACGUGGGUUCGACGAUGAGAUCGAUGACACCGAUGAAGAGCUAUAUUAUCUUCAGAAGUGCCAGGCAAGCAAAACCCCCUUGUUCAUUCCGAUAUAAUCCCACUCUCUCGCUCCUGCUCUCUUUUACUGCAUUAGGACAACAACGAUUCAACUGUUACUUGCUGCGGUAGCUGAACCCCUUUAUCCUUUGCAUGACCUGUCAUUCCACAGUAAAUAGAUGAAACCCACUAGCAUGAGUAGGAGUUGUUUGAUCCCUGUUGUGCCUACUCAUUCAUGCUUGUUUGUCAUGCCUGCUACUGCUUAGAGUUGAGUCAGGUCUGAUUCAUCAGGGGGAAUCAGAGGUGUGUGAACAUGUCCUACUGUGUGUGAGCUAAGUGUGUGAACACGAUUUGGUAAAGGUAGCGGUGAGAGGCCAUGUAGGAUUACAUGGUGGGUUGUCUCAUUGCAGUCGUCCUCAGGAACUGAAUUCUGUGUUUGUGAUCCAUAAUACAGUUACUACCACGCAUUGGGCCCGAAACCAAUGGACCCUUUCGGCUUCUUAAUCACCCUUGUCCUCUGUCCAGGAGUUGCAAGUAGUUUCUGGUGUUUGUAGUAUGCUGGAGGCCGUGGGCAGCGCUGACCGGAGGGGUGGGCUGUGAUGCGGUAGGCACGUGGCCGGGUUACCGGGCGCCCGUUUGGUGUCACGGAACCCUGCUCACAUCAUUUGGGGCUGUGAGCGAAACCCCGGCCGGAUCUCCUCAUGGAUGGAACCCGAAUAGGCGAUAAACCUGGACUAGAGACUUGAGUGUUUAGGUAGGCCGUGGCCGACACCCACGUUGGGCUUCCGCUUGAAGGUUGCCGAGUACAUGUCGUGUAAACAGCGGUAAGUGGUGAGAGCGUGUGUGAAGAAGUACACCCCUGCAGGGUUAACAUCAUCUAUUCGAAUAGCCGUGUCCGCGGUAAAGGACUUCUGGGUUGCCUGUACAGUUCAUAGACAAGUGAAAGUGGAUACUUUAAAAUGCGCAAGAUAAGCGUGAGUGCUAUGGAUGGCGUUCUCGUAGGGAGACGGGAGUGGAUCCAUAGUGGUGUAUUGGUUGGUGAAUAUGUGGACUCGUGGUCGUCAAAAGUAAACGCGUCGAAACUCUAGUAGACGACUUGAGGGUCACAUUUGACAACCUUCGAGAAUAUGAUAUCAAACUGAAUCCGGAAAAAUGCGUUUUCGGCGUGCCAGCCGGAAAGCUCCUGGGCUUCAUCGUAUCCGGUAGAGGAAUUGAAGCAAAUCCGGCCAAGAUCCAAGCUCUAUCACAGCUGGAUAUUCCAAAAAACCUCAAACAGAUCCAGAAAUUGACGGGAUGCAUGGCGGCCCUCAGCCGCUUUAUCUCCCGCUUAGGAGAAAAGGCAUUGCCCCUCUAUCGCCUCCUCAGGCACACCGAACACUUCGAGUGGACGGAUGCUGCCACCGCCGGACUCGAAGAAAUAAAGGCCAUAUUGGCAACGAAUCCGGUCCUGGCUGCGCCCAACCUGGGCGAACCAAUGCUGUUAUACAUCGCAGCAACACAUCAAGUUGUAAGCGCGGUACUCGUCAUCGAACGAGAGACAGAAGGGCAUAAAUUCCCUCUUCAAAAACCAGUGUACUACGUAUCCACUGUGUUAACCCCCUGCAAGUCCCGUUACCCACACUAUCAGAAGAUCGCGUAUGCAGUGUUCAUGGCAUCCCGGAAGCUCCGACACUACUUUCAAGAGUGUUCGAUAACAGUGGCCUCUAAAGUACCACUCAAUGACAUUAUAAACAACCGCGACGCAACGGGCAGGAUUGCAAAAUGGGCCAUUGAUCUCUUGCCAUUCGAUAUAACUUACAGACCUCGGCGAGCUAUAAAGUCACAAGUUUUGGCUGACUUUGUCGCCGAAUGGACCGAAGCCGAACUCCCUAAAGAGUACGGUGCAUACUCCAAUUGGAUUAUGCACUUCGACGGCUCUAAAAUGUUGACCGGACUAGGGGCUGGCGUCGUAUUGACGUCCCCGACCGGUGAUACAGUCCAAUACGUACUUCAAAUAAUGUACACGGACUCCAACAACGCAGCCGAAUACGAGGCCCUUUUACAUGGUCUCCGGAUGGCAAUCUCCAUGGGCAUUCAACUCCUAGAGGUGCGUGGGGAUUCAAACCUCGCAAUAUCCCAAAUAAAUGGAGACUUUGAUGCCAAGGAUCCGAAAAUGGGAGCAUAUCGCAACGCUGUCCUAAAAAUGUCAGCUCGGUUCGACGGACUCGAAUUCCAUCACGUAGCCAGGGAUAACAACCAAGCGGCCGACGUAUUGGCACACAUCGGCGCAAAACGUGACGCUGUCCCUCCAAACAUCUUCCUGGAACGGCUGUUCAAGCCAUCCGUAUUAUGGGAAGGGGAGUCCGGAAAUAACAAACCGGAAGCAGCCACACCAACCGACACAGAGCAAUUUGACAUAAGCGGCAAUUCCGCCGCCGAAAUAACACCCUUAGCCCACGACAUAAUGGCCGUAAUCGCCCCGUGGACAGAACCAUUCCUAGCCUACUUACUUAGGCAGGAACUUCCCGAAGACCAAAAUGAGGCCCGCUGCAUAGUUCGGCGAUCUAAAGCCUACAAGGUCCACGAGGGAGAACUUUAUAAGAAAAGCACAACCGGAGUCCUUCAAAGGUGUAUCUCCGAAGAGGAAGGGCGAAACCUCCUGGCUGAAAUUCAUGCCGGACUAGGCGGACACCACACAGCAGCCCGGGCCCUCGUAGGAAAGGCAUUCCGUACAGGAUUUUAUUGGCCGACGGCCCGAGCAGAUGCUCAGGACUUAGUCCAACGAUGCGUUGGUUGUCAGCUCUUUGCUAAUCAGAGCCAUAUGCCACCCACCGCACUCAAAACUAUACCCAUUACCUGGCCGUUCGCGGUCUGGGGGCUUGACAUGGUUGGACCACUUAAAGGGGGAACCCACAAGCAAAGAUACCUAUUGGUCAUGGUGGAUAAAUUCACCAAAUGGAUAGAGGCCAAGCCAGUUAAAACGGCAGAGUCCAGACCAGUGAUAGACUUUAUAUCCGGGGUAGUACACCAUUACGGUGUCCCCCACAGCAUCAUCACCGAUAACGGCACGAAUUUUACGGCCGAUGAGGUUAAAUCAUGGUGCAAAAAUAUGGGCAUCAAGCUCGAUUAUGCUUCAGUCUAUCAUCCUCAAACCAACGGUCAAGUGGAACGAGCAAAUGGUCUAAUAAUGAGCGGCAUCAAACCCAGACUAGUGCGGUCACUUACGAAAUCUGACACGCACUGGGUAGAGGAGCUCGACUCCGUACUCUGGGGGCUGCGGACAACGCCCAACCGUACUACCGGAUUCACACCAUUUUUUAUGAUGUACGGCGCAGAGGCAGUUUUGCCCUGCGACAUUAUUCAUGACUCACCUCGAGUGCGCAUGUAUGAAGAAAGAGAGGCCGAGCUGGAUCGGCAGGACAGCUUAGACGCAUUGGAGGAAGAACGCGACGUCGCCAAGGCUCGUUCCGCAUUCUAUCAGCAGCAGGCUCGAAGAUAUCAAAGCAGAGAAGUACGGGCCAAGACUUACAACGUGGGCGAACUAGUUCUACGCCUGCCGGACAAGAAAAAGGGCAAGCUCAAGCCCAAAUGGGAGGGCCCCUUCAUCAUCGAUCAAGUCCUGACCGGCGGAGCAUACCGUCUACGAAAUGCAUCGGAUAAUCGACUCGAGCCGAACCCAUGGAACGCAGCCCGCCUUCGAAGAUUCCAUGCCUAGCGCCGGAUUAAGAGUUCGUCCCUUUCUCCCGUCCAAAUUUUUUAUACUUCAGCUGCCUUUUUUCUCUUUUUUUCUCUCACCCCUAUUCAUAAACAGCCUUAAAAGGCUUAUUUGCACAUAAGUCUGCACAUAAUCGACGUGCUAUCCGCACUCACUAUACCUGGGGGCUUCUUUGCCAGAAGCUUAAUUUAUAAGGGCUUCGUGCCCAGCACAUGUGUUAAGCUCCCACAUGUACCUUUUAUUCACCAUUAUAUGCAUCGAUAUGACUUAAGUUUUGGCCAAGCUGGGUUGCCUGGCUCCUGUGCUUACCCCUACGUUCCCAAUUGUUCGGCUAGGAGGUAAAGGGAGCACCUCUGCGAUUGUUACUGCCGGGUCAGCCGGAUGUGUACCUCAGACUGGGUGAAGCCGAAAGCUAGCGUUCUUAAGGGAAUACUCGGUCGGUGACUUGAAAGAUGAUUUUACCUACUUAUUUAUCUGCCCCCAGAUGUUUUUCUGCUUUUUUCGCAGUCCGGACAUGCACUUUAGGGCAUGCCACCCCCAGAGGAAAGGAACCCUUAACGAAACUAUUCUCCCUGGAAGAUGUUUCUUACUAACCAUGUAAUAUAACAUAACUAGUUGGGCACUUGUCUGAUAAAGCACUAAUGACCCCUAUGCCUGGUCUCCAUGCAUACCCCGGUUGUUUCAUAACUGAGAGGGUAUUCGGACACACUCCGGACUCUAGGGUCCCGAGGUCGAAGCGAAAAGGUCGGCAAAGACAAAUGAUCUACAAUCCGACUAGAAGGCAUUUUACAUGUCAUUUUAUAAUACAUUGUCAAAUUGACUGACUGUAUUCUUCCUCAAUCCCGUCUAACAGAUUGUCUAAUUUAUAGUCCUGUUGGGAAAACUUAGCAGCCAACUCUACUUGGCCGUAUACUAAACUUACAGGGAUCUCCUUCCCAUCGGGCCCCACAGGUCCGACUUCGGCCAUGUGGUUGGGAUUCGCCUUCUUGUACCGCGUCUUCACCAUGGCCCAGGACUCCCUGGCACCUUGGCGGCAGGCUGAAAUCUUCCAUAAAUGGAAGCGCUGCCGCACUCCCUGAAGCUUCUCCGCAAGCUCCCCAAGUCCCUCGGGUAGGGAAAAGGUUGGCCAUAAAGCCUGGAUGACGCCGCUCAUUGCCUGCCGAACUCGUUCGGUCAGUCGCAACAACUCGGGAAGUUGAUCACCCGUUGAUAUGGGCAUCUCCUCCGCGGGGCGACCUGUGAGUAUACCUACAGACAUAUUUUGUCAAUUAACUUCCUCGCCAAACUCUUCUUUUCAAAGGAGUUCGCUCAAGCACUUACUAUAGAUGCCGCGAUGAAGCCGCUGAUUCUCCUUAACGGAGCCAGAUAGCUCGGCCCGAACGCCUUUCAGCUCUUCUCCAAGCUGGGCAUGGGCAUCCUGGAGCUUGUUCCUUUCAUGCUGCACCUUAUGCAGCACCCUCUCGCUGGCCUUUAGUUGGCGAAGAAGUUCUUGCCUGUCCGGAUCUUGUUCGGCGGCACCUGCAACGUCAUUAUCAGACUUGCAUACAGGCCAAACACUACUUAUCUUUUAAAAAAAAUGUGUGUUACCAGGAGAGGUCGUUGCGUUUCCUCCUGCGGCAGCGAGUGCGGCUUCAAGUUGAGCCUUGCACUCUUGCAGCUCCUGAGACAGUUGGGUAUUCUUCUCGGUAAGACCCUGCGUUUCAUAUGUUCCUUAAAUCAGUUAAUAUAACUACUUUAAGUCUCGGGGGCUACUGGCAUAUAUAACUAUUAAAUUCGCUUACCCGUAUGUCCUUUACAUACUGCUCCGUGGCUCUGGUCAAACCAUCUUGAGCGGCACGGAGGUGCGCGUCCCCUGCGUUAAAGGCAUCCAACGCCUCAGGGGAGAAGCACACGUCACGAUAAACAGUCCGGCGGCGCCUAUGGUUCAUGGCACUCUCCACCUCAGAUUUGGUGGCGGAUAGACGGUCGGCAUCCUCCGUUAGAGGAGUAUCCGGCUCGCGCCUUGUGCUCGCCUCCCCCUCCGGACCAGGCGCUGGAGCUUGGCUGGUAGAAGCCGGAUUGGCAGCCUCUGCACCCGUAGUCCGGCGGGCGUUUUUCCCCCUACAAAAAGUCAUGAGCAUUCGAACGCUUCCUAGGAACGUUGCUCCAGAUAAUGAAUUGUGAGUUGUACCUUUGCAGUGACAUUUCGGUCCGCGCCGCGCUCCUCUUCCGUCUACUUGUCCGGACUGGCCUUUGACGGUCAGCCGCCGCGGGCUCGGCUUCCCGCCCUAGAGGCACCUCCUGCACAGCGUCAUCAUAUACAAUGGUCAGAAAUAAGCAAGGAAGGACUAACGGUGUCAGAACUUCGGUCACAAGCACCUGGGAAGCCGGAUAUAGUCCGGGAUAGUCGGCCGUAAUGGCGACUAAGGCAUUAUCCAUGCUGAGCUGGUGGAAAACCCCGUCGAUUAGCUCCACUCCUAUGUCCGGAUCCUCUUCGGAGGCCGGGUCCCGGGAUCUCUCUGGAUCCUCGGGUUGCGGAGCUGGACUUAGCAUGUCCUCCACCAUCCGACGCAGCUCCUGCAUCGAAAGAAGAACACCAUAUAAGAAACUUAGGUUUCAAAGGCAUGGGUUGGACACGUGUAGUGUUCGCUUACCCAGGGCCGGGGAUUAUUCAUGGAGAACCCAUUUAACGGAUUCGUCCGAAGGAAAUCCUCCUUCUCCCCCUUGUACAGGCCGGACAGGAUCUUCACCAGGUCUUCGGCCGAAUCCGACCCUUUACGGCCGUGACGGGUGGCAUCGUCCUCCCCGUUGAAAUCCCACAUACAUUGGCCCUUGUAUUGUAGUGGCUGCACUCCCCUCAUAAUGCAUGUUGCCAUGACUCCAAUCAUGGUCAACCCGGAAUGGGUCAGUAACCUUAUCCGGCCCAUCAGAUAAUGAACGCUCUUGUCUUCCUCCAGUUGGGGGCUCCGUGGGCGCCAACUAAGGUGUUUCUUUAGAGGAGCAUUGUUGAACUCCGGGAGGCCGAUCCGGACAGGGUCCGGCAGCGGAGCGUCUUCUAUAUAAAACCAUAACGAAGGCCAGUCUUCGGACGCCUUCUUAGGGGUUCCGGAUGGAUAUCCGGUCCCGGCAAUGCGCCAUAUUUCGGCGCCGCCCACUUGAUAUAUUAACCCCUCGUGAGAGCAGGGUACAAGGCAAAACAACCUCUUCCACAGCGCAAAAUGGGGCUCGACACCCAGGAAUAGCUCGCAAAGAGCUACGUAACCCGCAAUAUGCAGGAUCGAGGCGGGCAUGAGGUGAUGAAGCUGGAGUCCGUAGAACUCCAGGAGCCCGCGGAGGAACGGAUGUACGGGAAAUCCGAGCCCCCUUAUCAGAUAGGGGAUGAAGCAUACCUGCUCCCCUUUGUUGGGAUUUGGGGUAGCCUCCGCUUGCUUCCCACCUUUAUAGGUGGCCAGCCCGGCUCGGACAGGAACCAUGAAGGCCGGAGGGAGAUAUCCCCCCGUUUGGAGCUUCACCAGCUCGUUGUGUGGAACAGAGCAUCUCCUCCAAUCUCCUGGCAGAGGGCUGGGAGCGCGAGAAGAAGAGCUACGCUGGGGAUCCAUGAUGGAAUGGUUUCCGGGUCGAAAGCGCUCUGAUGAGUGUUCGCGGGAGGAAGAUGGUGAUUUGGAUCUGGAUUCGUGCCUCUCUUAUAGGCAGAUUACUCGCACAACUAGGGGGUAAAACAUAAAAGACACCCCGGCUUUUCGCAUUCGUGCGACACGUGGAAGAAGGCCAUUAUUGGGCGUGGGAGCCAAGAAACGCAACUUUAAUGAAAAAGCCGGACACUGUUCGGCAGGUACAUGGAACUUGAAGGAGAACCCGCCUUGCAACGCCGAAGACUACACACAUGCUGGACUUACCAUCAUUGAAGACUGGUUUGGGGGCUACUAAGGGAGUCCUGGACUAUGGGGUGUCUGGAUAGCCGAACUAUCAUCGGCCGGACUAUCAUCAUUGACCGGACUCCAAGACUAUGAAGAUACAAGAUUGAAGACUUCGUCCCGUGUCCGGAUGGGACUUUCCUUGGCGUGGAAGGCAAGCUUGGUGAUACGGAUAUGUAGAUCUCCUACCAUUGUAACCGACUCUAUGUAACCCUAGCCCUCUCCGAUGUCUAUAUAAACCGGAUGGCUCUAGUCCGUAGGACAACAACAUCAACCCUUACAAUCAUACCAUAGGCUAGCUUUUAGGGUUUAGCCUCCUUGAUCUCGUGGUAGAUCCACUCUUGUAAACAUCCACAAUAUCAAUAUCAAUCAAGCAGGACAUAGGGUUUUACCUCCAGCAAGAGGGCCCGAACCUGGGUAAAACAUCGUGUCCCUUGUCUCCUGUUACCAUCCGCCUAGACGCAUAGUUCGGGACCCCCUACCCGAGAUCCGCCGGUUUUGACACCGACACCAGUGCCCUGUGGGUGCUGGUUCUUGGUCGUCUCCGGCAUCGUCGUCCAUACCGUUGAUAUCUUCGGAGUCGCAAUCUAGCAUGUCGGUUAAGUCAUCGAUAGUGGCUACGAAGUGGGUGGUGGGUGGGCUUUGAAUUUCUUCGCCGUCCGCAUCCCAACCAUCCUAGCCAUAAUCCGGCAAGGCUCUCCUGAUAAAGAGAGACACUUUAGCGAAUUCAGGAUGUCGCCGAAAGGCGAGUGCUGAAAGAUGUCCGCAGUGGAGAACUCCAUGAUCGGCGCCCAAUCGGGUUCGAUUGGCAGGAGCGCGGAUGUUUCGGGGUUCGGAGAGGAGUCCGGCACCUUGGAGUCACGAGCUUCACAAGGGACAGGGUCGGUAUUCGGCUCCAUCGCCGUAGAGGUAGUAGCCCCCGAGGCGGUGUUUAGCCACCCAUCCUCGACCGGCGCAAUUGGGUCCGAGUUAAGGGUCGGAGCGGACUCUUGUGCGGCCUCCAGGGCACUGUCCGGUGGCAGAGCUAAAUCAUGCCCAUCGUGACAGUGCGGCGCGCUCGGCUGUGGCUUGAAUCCGUCGAAGAUCAAGUCUCCGCGGAUAUCGCCCGUAUAGUUUAAACUUCCAAAUCUGACCUGAUGGCCAGGGGCGUAGCUUUCGAUCUGCUCCAGAUGGCCAAGUGAGUUGGCCCGCAGUGCGAAGCCGCCGAAUACGAAGAUCUGUCCGGGGAGAAAAGUUUCGCCCCGGACCGCGUCAUUGUUGAUGAUCGAAGGAGCCAUCGGGCCUAUGGGCGACGACACAGAGGAACUCUCAAUGAAAGCACCAAUGUCGGUGUCAAAACCGGCGGAUCUCGGGUAGGGGGUCCCGAACUGUGCGUCUAGGCGGAUGGUAACAGGAGACAAGGGACACGAUGUUUUUACCCAGGUUCGGCCCUCUCGGUGGAGGUAAAACCCUACUCCUGCUUGAUUAAUAUUGAUGAUAUGGGUAGUACAAGAGUAGAUCUACCACGAGAUCAAGGAGGCUAAACCCUAGAAGCUAGCCUAUGGUAUGAUUGUUGUUCGUCCUACGGACUAAAACUCUCCGGUUCAUAUAGACACCGGAGAGGGCUAGGGUUACACAGAGUCGGUUAUAAUGGUAGGAGAUCCACAUAUCCGUAUUGCCAAGCUUGCCUUCCACGCCAAGGAAAGUCCCAUCCGGACACGGGACGAAGUCUUCAAUCUUGUAUCUUCAUAGUCUUGGAGUCCGGCAAAUGAUGAUAGUUCGGCUAUCCAGACACCCCCUAGUCCAGGACUCCCUCACAUGAUUCUCUUUCUUUACCGUGCUUCCUAGCAACAAAACCUCUCUUAUCAUAACGUUGAUUCUUUGAUUGUGGGUUAUCAAGAUCAACAGCAGGUUCAAUCUCUACAUCAUUGUCUUUGCUAGGUUGAGCAUCAACAUGAACAUUGUCAUUAAAAUUUUCACUAGGUUCAUGUUCAUCACCUGAUUGUGUUUCAGCAUCAGAAAUAGAAAUAUCAUUGGGAUUCUAAGGUGUGUCUACAGUAGGUUCAUUAGAAGCAUGCAAAGUCCUAUCGUCUUUCUUUUUCUUCUUCUUAGAAGAACUAGGUGCCUCUAAAUUAUUUCUCUGAGAAUCUUGCUCGAUUCUCUUAGGGUGGCCUUCAGGAUACAAAGGUUCCCGAGUCAUUCUACCAGUUCUAGUAGCCACUCUAACAACAAAGUCAUUUUUAUUAUUUAAUUCCUCAAGCAAAUCAUUUUGAGUUUUAAGUACUUGCUCAGCUUGAGUAGCAACCAUAGAAGCAUAUUUGCUAACACGGUGAAGUUCAUCUUUAACUCUAGCCAGAUUAUCACCUACGCGUCCUAUCUCGAAAGCAUUAUUCUUUAACUCUCUAUCAACAUAAGCAUUAAAACUUUCUUGUGUAGCCAUAAAGUCAUCAAAUUCAUCUAAGCAUGGGCUAUGAAAUUUAGUAGAGGGUAUUUCAACUUUAUCAUAUCUAUAGAGAGAAUUUACCUUUACUACCUGUGUCGGGUUAUCAAGACAAUGUGGUUCUUUAGGCGGUAAAUUAAGACCAUGUAUUUCUUCAAUAGGUGGUAAAUUCUUAACAUCUUCAGCUUUAAUACCUUUUUCUUUCAUUGAUUUCUUUGCCUCUUGCAUAUCUUCAGGACUGAGAAAUAAAACACCUCUCUUCUUCGGAGUGGGUUUAGGAAUAGGCUCAGGAGUUGGCUCAAUUGCUUCUGGAAUUACUUCAGGAACUGGCUCGGGAAGAGUCCAAUUAUUUUCAUUAGUCAACAUAUUAUUCAAUAGUAUUUCAGCUUCGUCGACUGUUCUUUCCCUGAAAACACAACCAACACAACUAUCCAAGUAGUCCUUGGAAGCAUCAGUUAGUCCAUUAUAAAAUAUAUCAAGUAUUUCAUUUUUCUUAAGAGGCUGAUCAGGCAAAGCAUUAAGUAACCCGAGAAGCCUCCCCCAAGCUUGUGGGAGACUCUCUUCUUUGAUUUGCACAAAAUUAUAUAUUUCCCGCAAGGCAGCUUAUUUCUUAUGAGCAGGGAAAUAUUUAGCAGAGAAGUAAUAAAUCAUAUCCUGGGGACUACACACACAACCAGGAGCAAGAGAAUUAUACCAAGUCUUAGCAUCACCCUUUAAUGAGAAUGGAAAUAUCUUAAGGAUAUAUAAAUAGUGAGACUUCUCAUCAUGAGUAAAUAGGGUGGCUAUAUCAUUCAACUUGGUAAGAUGUGCCACAACAGUUUCAGAUUCAAGGCCAUAAAAAGGAUCAGAUUCAACAAAGGUAAUAAUAUCAGGAUCAAUAGAGAAUUCAUAAUCCUUAUCAGUAACACAGAUAGGUGAAGUAGCAAAAGCAGGAUCGGGUUUAAUUCUAGCAUUAAGAGACUGCUGCUUCCAUUUAGCUAAUAAUUUCUUAAGAUCAUUUCUAUCAUUGCAAGCAAGAAUUUCCAUAGCAGCUUUUUCAUUCAUAACAUAACCCUUAGGAACAACAGGUAAAACAUAAUCAUUGGGGGAACGUUCAUCAUCACUAUCAUCAAUAAUAGGUUCUUCAAUAUUUUCAUUCCCCCUAACUCUAGCAAGUUGUUCAUCAAGAAAUUCACCUAAUGGCAAAGUAGUAUCACGCACAGAAGUAGUUUCAUCAUGCAUAGCAGAAGUGGCAUCAUCAAUAACAUGCGACAUAUCAGAAUUCAUAGCAGUAGCAGGUUUAGGUGUCGCAAGCCUACUAAUAACGGAAGGAGAAUCUAGUGUAGAGCUAGAUGGCAGUUCCUUACCUCCCCUCGUAGUUGAGGGCAAAAUAGUAGUUCGAUCGUCUUUGAAGUUCUUCAUAGUGAUCAACAGAUAUAAAUCCCAAGUGACUCAGAGAAUAGAGCUAUGCUCCCCGGCAACAGUGCCAAAAAUUAGUCUUGAUAACCCACAAGUAUAGGGGAUCGCAACAGCUUUCGAGGGUAGAGUAUUCAACCCAAAUUUAUUGAUUCAACACACGGGGAGCCAAAGAAUAUUCUUGAGCAUUAGAAGUUGAGUUGUCAAUUCAACCACACCUGGAUAACUUAGUAUCUGCAGCAAAGUGUUUAGUAGCAAAAGUGGUAUGAUAAUAAUGGUAAUAGUAGCAACAGUAAAGGUAAAUGUUUUUGGGUUUUUGUAGUAGUUGUAACAGUAACAACGGAAAAGUAAAUAAGCGAAGAACAAUAUGUGAAAAGCUCGUAGGCAAUGGAUCGGUGAUGGAUAAUUAUGCCAGAUGCGAUUCCUCAUGCAAUAGUUAUAACAUAGGGUGAUAUAUAACUAGCUCCAAUUCAUCAAUGUAAUGUAGGCAUGUAUUCCGUAAAUAGUCAUACAUGCUUAUGGAAAAGAACUUGCAUGACAUCUUUUGUCCUACCCUCCCGUGUUUAGCGGGGUCCUUACGAAAACUAAGGGAUAUUAAGGCCUCCUUUUAAUAGAGAACCGGACCAAAGCAUUAACACAUAGUGAAUACAUGAACUCCUCAAACUAUGGUCAUCACCGAGAAGUAUCCCGAUUAUUGUCACUUCGGGGUUGUCGGAUCAUAACACAUAAUAGGUGACUAUAGACUUGCAAGAUAGGAUCAAGAACACACAUAUAUUCAUGAAAACAUAAUAGGUUCAGAUCUGAAAUCAUGGCACUCGGGCCCUAGUGACAAGCAUUAAGCAUAGCAAAGUCAUAGCAACAUCAAUCUCAGAACAUAGUGGAUACUAGGGAUAAAACCCUAACAAAACUAACUUGAUUACAUGGUAAAUCUCAUCCAACCCAUCACCGUCCAGCAAGCCUACGAUGGAAUUACUCACGCACGACGGUGAGCAUCAUGAAAUUGGUGAUGGAGGAUGGUUGAUGAUGACGACGGCGAUGAAUCCCCCUCCCCGGAGCCCCGAACGGACUCCAGAUCAGCCCUCCCGAGAGAGAUUAGGGCUUGGCAGCGGCUCCGUGUCGUGAAACGCGAUGAAACUUUCUCCCUGAUUUUUUUCUCCCCGAGACGGUAUAUAUGGAAUUGGAGUUGAGGUCGGAGGAGGUCCAGGGGGCCCACGAGAUAGGAGGGCGCGCCCUAGGGGGGCGCCCCCUGUCUCAUGGACAGCCCGUGGGCCCCCUGACCUUGAUUCUUUCGCCAAAAAUUCUUAUUAAUUCUGAAAAGUGCCUUCGUGGAUUUCCAGGACAUUCCGAGAACUUUUCUUUUCUACACAUAAAACAACAUCAUGGCAGUUCUGCUGAAAACAACGCUAGUCCGGGUUAGUUUCAUUCAAUUCAUGCAAAUUAGAGUCCAAAACAAGGGCAAAAGUGUUUGGAAAAGUAGAUACAUUGGAGAAGGAUCAGCUACGCACUUGAGCUAAUCCGCUGAGCUGAACGUGAUAGCGCACGCUGACCACCUGAGAGGGUGUGUGGCUUCAAGCUUGGGGAGGACUGCAUUCACCUCGCGAGCAAACUGUUUGAAGAUGCGCCAAGAGGCUGGGACUUGAGCGCCGCCCAGGAUGCAAGCGAUUGCACGCGGCUCCUGGAAGCCCCCUGCUCCUUCAUCCUGAUGAUGGUCUUCAUUCCUCCUAGGUGGAGGUGGCAGAGGAGGGAGGCCCGCGUUGCCUUGAGGGCGAUCCUCGCGAGGCUGAUCCCUCCAACCUCCCUCGCGAGGCUGGUCCUGCGAGCAGUCCUCGCGAGGUCAGUCGUGCCACCCUUUGUGAGGGCCACGGUCUUCCCAUCGUCCUCCACCUCUUCCUCCUCCUCGGCCAUAUCCCCAGUCGUUGCGCUCGGGGCGUCGGCCGAUACGCCCAUCUCGCAUGGCCCUGAGCUCUUGGCAUUCGUUGUUGUUGUGGGUGUGGAGGUCAUGGUACACGCAGUACCGGUUGCCCUUGGACGACUCAGGCUGAUCCCUGCCUUGCUUGGUGUCUGGCUCUGCUGCAAGCACAGUAGCCCCCUUGCGCUUUACGUCUUUGGCCUUGGGCUUCUUCUCUUCUGGAUCGGCACCCGGAAGCUCGAGGAGGGAGAUAUGCCCUUCCUCAGCCCUGGUGCAUUUGGUCGCCAAGUUGAACAGCUCCAGGGAUGUGCACAGGUUUUCAUGGAUUGCUAGCUCUUCCUUCAUCUUGAUGUCACGCACGCCGUCAGAGAAGGCUGAGAUGAUGGCUUCCUCAGUCACCCUGGGGAUCUUGAGGCGAGCGUUGUUGAAAUGCUGGAUGUACUUCUGCAAGGUCUCUCCUGGCUAUUGCUUGAUGCGGUGAAGGUCGCUCAUGGCCGGAGGCCGGUCGCGAGUGCCUUGGAAGUUGGCGAUGAAUCGGGUGCGCAUCUCGUCCCAAGAGGAAAUUGUGCCCAGAGCCAGGUUCAGGAGCCAGGUGCGGGCGCCGUCCUUGAGCGCCCUGGGAAACCAGUUCGCCAUGACCUUCUUGUCCCCAUUGGCAGCCUCGAUGCCCAGCUCGUAGAGCUGGAGGAACUCCGCAGGGUCAGCCGUGCCAUCGUAGCGUGGAGGCAGGUCGGGCUUGAACUUGCCUGGCCAAGCUACGCUGCCCAGCUUGGCGAUGAAGGCGCGGCAUCCCGCAGUGGCCACAGGCGGCCUUUGGUGACAAAGGGCUUGAUCUUGGAGGUCCGCACGCGCUGCCGCCAGGAACAGCGCGGGGUCUUGGCGCGCUAGAGCAGGAGUGCGGUCAUGACGUGCCGGUGCAGGGAGCAUGCGGGCAGCUUCUUCGGGGCGAGGGAUCUCCUGGCAGCUCCUUUCUUAUCGCACUGGCGCCGGACACGGUGGGUCUCGUGCCGGAGCAGCACGCCGUGGGGCUAGGGCGCCUUCUUGAGGAGGAGGUGGCGGGGGCACCUCCUGGUCCUCGCCUCCCAUGCAGGGUGGAGGGCGAGGCGGCGAGAGAGAGGGCAUAGGAGAGCCCCCUGCAGCGCUGACGAGCUCGGUGAUGCGGGUGAGCCAGUCCUCAUAGAGGUCAUCGACGGGACGGUAGUGCAGGAGCUCUCGCGCCAGGAGCAGCACAGCGUGCGCGUCCGCGGGGGCACGAUGGGCGUGGGAGGAUGAAAUGGCUGGAGUCAGCGACGGGGUGGUGGUGCGGCCCUCUCGCCGCACCGAAGGGUGCAGGGACGAGGCCUGCUGCUCGUUCCCCGCCGGGCCGGUGGCGGCGUUGGUGGCAGGCGACAGGGAACGACGGGGGCUUCCUCCGACGGGCGCCGUCUGGGCGACGCGGGUGGUGAGGGCUGCCCGGCGCUCAGCGCGGGCUCGACGAGCGUCAGACAUGGAGGUGACGGACGACGAGACGCAAGGCGGCGGAAGGCGAGAUUCCGGCGCACCCCUACCUGGCGCGCCAAAUGUCGGAUUGCGGGUUCCGGCAGACCCCUGAGGUUCGAACUCUGGGGUGCGCACGGAGAUCACUCCCCCUACCUACUCACGUCUCGUCGCCUCGCAAGAGAUCUAAACUACACGAAGAACAACACAAGGGACACAAGGUUUAUACUAGUUCGGGCCACCAUUGUGGUGUAAUACCCUACUCUAGUUUGUGGUGUGGUGGAUUGCCUCAGGGGCUGAUGAUGAACAAUACAAGGGAAGAACAGCCUCGCGAGGGAUGUUCUUGUGGUGGUGUUGUCCCCUUGGAGGGGUCGAUUCGAGAUGACUAUCUGCUCUCUCUAGAUGCUGGAUCCUUUCUACCCGAUCCCUUCCUACUGUGGUGGAUAGUCCUAUUUAUAGAGCAAGGCCCUGGUCCUCUUCCCAAAUAUUGAGCGGGAAGGGCGCCAACAAUUGGCCAUUUUGAAGGGGAACAUCUAGUACACUUAUCCUGACUAAAGUUGGUCCUCGCCUGCCAAAGGCUCUAACGAUGACGCCUUCCUGGGCUCCACGAUGACCUCCAUCCGGCCGUUCUGCUGGUCUUGGUCUUGUUGCACCGAAAUGGUAUCCUUUGCCUGAUACCUUGGCCUACGCUUGCCCCCUUUGCACCAAAGGGGAAACAAGGACACUGCCCAGGCCGGCGCCCGCCUGGCGCCCGCCUGGUCUCGAUCGUCAUGGCUUGCAUCACGGGCACCUCGUGAGGUACCCUGCCUUGAUCUCUCCGCCUCCUCGCGAGCCAGCCUAGCGAGGCUGUGCCUGAGGAAGCUUCCUAUCGUCCGCCCCGUGAGGCUUGGCCCCUUGCGAGGGUCUUGAGCUUGUGUCGAUGAAGAUGGGCCGUGGUGGGCCCCCUACUUGAGCCACGCCGCAGGCCACAGGCAGGCAAGUCUGGGUACCCCCGUUCGCAGAACUCCGACACCUGCUGCCGUUCUGAGGAAUGAAACUGAAGCCAUCGAUUUGUCAGCAGAUGAUGAGUGUGGUGAUGAUGCUCUUGAGCAGCUGAUUAAGAGCAAGCAAGAGGCAGAGAUCUUCAAUGAUCUGCCCCUCUUCGAUGUGAACAUUUUGGAUAACUUCAUUGCUAAGUGGUUUGACAACCCAAAUCUCAGCUUUGAUGAUCUUCAGCUCGGAAUUGGCAUCAGCGUCACCUUCCAAGGCACCAUUGCUCCUGAGCUGGCUCUAGCUCAGAGGAUUGUUGAACUGAAAAACAAAAUUGACUAUGAGAAAGACCAGUUCAAGAAGCACGUGGCCAAGCUCAGUGUGGUUGAUGUUCAAAACUUUAAGCUGAUGCUGCAUGACAUCAAUGAGGCAUUUCGCAAGAAGCGCGAAGAAGCCAAAGGUUCACGUGAGCGAAUGAAAAAUCUAGCUGCCAAGUGUGUUCAAGCUUACAAUGAAGCUGAGAAGCGCAAGGCACUUGGGCGUCCUGGCAUAGACCCCAAGCUGGCUGCCAAGAAGAAGAAGCCUGCUGUGGCCCAAGCUGAAGCACCAAGGUGGGAAGAACCUCGCAUUGUCUUCCCUACCAGUAUGACAGGCUUGAAGCCUAAGGUCCCCACAGUGGCUUCAAAACUGAAGAAAACCAGGACAGCUAAAGCCGAAGCCAGAAAGCGCAAACUCAAGAACACCACUGACGAUGCUCCACCAACCAAGAAAAGAAAAACCAAGAAGAAAGAUCGGGCUGCUCCCACAGAGCCCCUCGUUGUCGAGCCCAUCUCUUUUGCUCGUCCUGCAUCCCAACACCAAGAGCGUCAGUUGAUAGUUCACGAGCCUUCUUCCACAGAGGCUCCUGAAGCUGAAGAAGUUCCAUCCAUUGACCCCAUCACGGCUGAAGACAUUGGUCCCCAAGACAAUGUGGAUGAUGAUGAAGUCCUUCCUCAGAUCGAGCGCCAAACGGUAUCAUCGCCUGUUCUCACAAACAACAAACUCAUCAGUAUUGGUCGUCCUUUGACGCCAAUCUCUCAGGAUGCCUCAUGGGCUGAUCGCCCCCAACUAGCUACUCCAAGUCAAGACUCAGCGCGAACUCCCCCACCUCAAGACACCAAUCCGGUGCUUGAUGAUGAUGACGACUAUGUGGUCCAUCCAACUCCUACUCCAAAGGCGCUGCCCACAUUCUGCAGGCUUCUCAAAGGACCAAGGCCACAAGUCGAUUCAUCGAGCAUUCCAGAAGGAGAAGUGCAACCCAACGUGGCAGCACAGCAAGUGUUUCCUGAAGCCACUCCUACCGUGAAUGUCUCUCUGUCUGAAGCCAAUGCCGCUGAAGAUAUACCGGCUGCAUCAGCCGAUGAAAAUCAAGAACCCUGUCAAGAAGAAGAAUGUGUUGCUACACCCCCUACCAACCAAGAAGAUGUUAUCGAGGAGAACGUGUCUGUGCCCGACCCUCCAGCUACUCAAGUGGAGGUUGAAAAUCCUGAGGCAGCCACAAAUAAAACUACUGACGCCAAUGACGUUGUCAUGGAUGAAGAUAAUGUGGCGCCUGCAAUGAACACCGUGCAUGAAGCCAAUGAUGCACCUGCACCAAAUGUGCAGCCUGACGCCCUUGCUAAUGCCACUGCUCCUGUACCGCCACCAAGGCCACACGCCAUUAAGCAAGCAUUCUAUCAAGGCAAGCUUGUCACUGUCAGAUGGCCAAUUCUGGUUCCUCCGCCUGCUCCCGGACCUUAGUUUUAUUAUCAUAUGGAGCACCGGCCACUUGUUCAGAAGUCAAAACCGAGGCUGCCAAGGUUUCCAGGUACUGCAUCUGCACCAGGAUCAUUAAACGUCAAUGGCUUCAUUGCACACAACACUUUCUUCGAUAGGGCCAAGAACCCAUAUUCCAAGUCAAGAAUAUCAUCUGAUCGGUUCUGGAGUUAUCAGCAGCGCAGCUAUUACUCCUGUGUCCUAUACAAUCAAGGGCCCAUAUUUCCCCACAUGCGUCUGGACUGCGAAGCCAUUGCUGGCCUGCCCUGCUUAGAAGAAGCCCUCGACUGUUUCAGAGAUGCAUGCCUUCUCCAGUUUGUGACUGAUAAGGAGAAUUGGAAUGAAGAGCUUCUGCUGCAAUUCUAUGCAACUCUCCACAUUCGCGGCUACAACAUGGAUCCAAAGACAUGGGUCCUUGAGUGGAUGACAUGCAAUGUACACCAUGAAGCCAAAGCUAUUGAUCUCAUUAAGCUUACUGGCCUGUCCACUCCAGGUGAACUAUAUGAACCUGGUUGUCAGCUUCACCGCAAUGCAUUGGAAAGCAUCUUCCAGAAGCUUGAGCCCAAUAUGAGCCAAAUGCUGAUUAUGAUGAAGCCACUGCCGCAGGAUGCUGAAUAUCCCAAGGAAUUCUUCGUUCAAGACCUAGAGUAUCUGCCCCGCACCAUCUAUCACAUUAUCAGGCGAACUCUUUGGCCCAUCAAAGGACAUUCUUCCUCAACUAAGCUUGAAGGCUCAAUGAAGACAUUGGUCUUCUAUAUUUUCAAUGGCAUCAGCUUCAAUGCUCAGGAUUUCUUCAUUCCUCCAAUUUGCUGCAUCUGGCUCGGAUAUAUUUGGACUGAAAUUCUAUGCUCCAUGGGUAAUGCGAUUGAUCAAGCUUCACUCUGCUGUUGACUAUCAGCCCUCUGCUCGCAACCAUCUCAUAUUCUUGCCAGAGUUUGAUAUGUCCGUCGAAGCCAUAUACCCAGAGACUACCAAGGAGGCAAUUUAUCUUCACAAUGUCGAUCGUCAGAGUUUCUCUCAGCAUGUUGAAGGAGUUCAUGCUGCCACUCAUGUUUAUCCGCUGGCUGGAAAUACUCGUGCACCUCGCCGUGCCCGUACUGAAGCCACUGAAAGCACUAUUGCUCCAAGGCCUCGAAAGCGAUCUCGUGUGCUCAAUGACCGAGAGAUUCUCUUGGCCUUUCAUCAAAAACACGAUAAUCAUCAUUACUGGCUAAAGCAUCAGAUGCAAAGCCUCUUGGUGGAUGUUAAUCGCAUUCGAAAUCGUGCCACCAAGAAUGCGUUUGCCACUCAUGAAACCUGUCGGAGGUCUUGGAAGAGUUUGACAUUGCUCAGUGCUGAAGCUGAUCUUCAAGACGAUGGCUUCACAGAGAGAUUCAAGUUCGAUACCACUCCUCCUAGGAAUGUUGUCUUGCCUCAGACUCCAUCACUCGAAGAUUCUGAGUACUCCUCCUCCGCGGCAACUGUAAAUGCCAGAGUUCUUGAUGACACCGAUGAUACUACUUCACCACCUCCAACUUCGGCAUGUAUCGACACUGCACCAAGUUCAUCUGCACCACCAAACCUCAACGACGACCCUGCUGCCUCACCUACUCCUCAUGGGAACGAGUAGAGACUAUGUCUUCAAACCUUUUUGGUCCUUACUAACAAAAGGGGGAGAAGCAUAUGUUGAUAGUCUUCAAGCGGGUCCAUAUGGGUGGUUGCUAUACUUUUGCCAAGUGUUUACAACUCUCACUUUUGAUACAUUUGGUUCUUUGAGUUGUAACACUGAAACUUGAUGGUCAUCUGCUACUUUUCUGUUAUUCUAUGAUGCGACGAUAAAUUCCGCAUGUGCGAUGAUAAAUCCCGCAUGAAGUCAAUCUGCAGACGUCCAUUUUUCAUUAUGCAUGUCAUUAUUCUUGUAUAUCUGUUCAUGCAUGAUGUAUUGUCUUCAUAAGGUGAAGAGGAUCUCCACAAGUACAACCUGCCAUGUGCAUUUGCAUUCCAGCGCAAAACAUUUAUAUGCACAUAUUCAGGGGGAGCCUUUUUGCCACCUAUGAAGACAAUAUCUUAAUCCUUUACAAUCUCACAUACUUUUAUCCCGUUGAAAACUUCAACCAGUUUGUCAUGAAUCACCAAAAAGGGGGAGAUUGUAAGUGCAUCUAGUGCCACCCCUAGUUGGUUUUGGAGUAUUGACGACAAACUUGGUUGAGGGACUAAUGUGUUUGUGAGAAUUGUAGGAUAACACAGGUAGUAGUCCCUCAUUGAUUCGGUUUACCUACCGGAGAUGACCCCUAAAAAUGUGUGAAGACAUUGAAGACAAUGGUGGUCUAUGAAGCUAUUCACGUUGAAGACUAUGACAUGAGAAGACAUCGCAUGAAGACUAUGGAGCGCGAAGACUUAGUUGUUUUGUUGUUUCCUUUUCUUCUUUGUUGAGUCAUAGGAAACACCACACUGUUAAGUGGGGUCCAAGUGAACAAAGUCAGAGUGACUGAAGUGAUGCUGAACCAAAUCCUAUGUCUUCGAGCGAAGACAAUGAGAGCAAAUCUUAUCCAGAGUCGGAUGAGUCAGCUUUACUUGUAGCCCAAGUCAAGCUCUCGCGUGUGUUUGAAAUCUGACCAUUGGGACACAUGUCAGUUCCUUAGUGACCUAGGGUCAUUUUGGACAAAUCAUGUCGGGUUGCCCAGUGUCUAUAAAUAGACCACCCCCUACACCAUAAAACGGUGGCUGCUCAGAGUUAGUGCACGGCUUUUGUCGUUUGCGAGCAACCCACCUCCGAAACAUUUGAGAGAGAAUCCUUGCGAGGACAAAGCCCAAACCACCCAGAGCCCAAAGAGUGUUUGGCAUCACUAAAGUCUUUCUGUCUGCGUGAUCUGAAGACUUGUUACACUUGAGGACUGUGAAUCCUCCAGUCGGUUAGGUGUCGCGUUCUGAGCAUCCAAGAGUCAUUAUGGAUUGCCGGUGAACGAAGUCUGUGAAGGUUUGGAAGUCUACCUCGAAGACUUACCAGAGUGAUUGGGCGGGGACUAGGUGUCCUUAGCUCAAGGGGAAUAAGGUGAAGACGCGGUCUUCUGAGUUGAAUCUCAGCCUCCCUAACCAGACGUAUAGUUGUUACAACAACUGGAACUGGUCGAACAAAUCUCUGUCCUCUCCAAGCUACUGGUUUUAUCUCUCACUUCUCUUUACUUACAGUUUGUCUUCGUGAAGUCAUUGCCUACUUGCAUGAUCUGUUUGACUUCACUGUGUGACUACUUGUUCUGAUUGGCUUCAUACUAUCUUCUAUCCUGAUCCUUACUACCUAGCUACUAAUAGUCUUCGUGCUUUCACUUCAUUGAAUACUUGACUAUGGCUUGCCUAGUGUAGUCUACCUUCCGCUGCAUACGAAUAGCGUCAUUUCUACUAUUUGUCUUCGAAACUCCCAUGCUUUGAAGACUUUCAUAAAAAUCGCCUAUUCACCCCCCUCUAGUCGAUAACUAGCUCUUUCACCUUUACAUUUUGUAUUGUUAAUGCUUAUAGAAAUCUUCCGGUGCUAGCUUAUGGAAAUCUGUUCAGUAAAACCAUUGUACUAUACCCCGUAAUAAAAAAUACUACUCUACUAUUGCACUAUGUCGGCGUCUUGGACUUGGGGGUAUCCAGUCCUGCCUGCCUGCGGCCCACCCCGUGGCUCCAUCGACGGCCUGGUACGGCCCAACUUCAGCACCAACACAACAAGACCCUCGCGAGGCGGACGACGUCAAGACCCUUGAAGGAGUUGGCCUCCUCAGGAGGGCUCCUGAGGGGCGGAGAGAUCUAUGCAACUACCUCAUGAGGCUCAACUGAUGUGAGCCAUGAUGACCAAGGCCAGGCGGGUGCUAGGCGGGCGCAGGGCGCAGGUUUCCUCUUCGGUGCAAGGGAGGCAAGCCAUAGGCGCGGAGUCCUGAGGAAUCAACCAAAUGUUUCCAUUCUGGUGCAACAAGACCAAGACCGCCAGGAUGGCAGGACAUAUGUCAUUGCCGAGCCCACCGCAGCGUCAUGACCAGAGGCUUUUUGCAGGCGAAGACUACUUCUAUUAGGAUAGACUGUACUUCUUGUCCCCUUUCAAAUCCCGCCGUUGUGGAAUCCCUUCCCGCUCAUAUUUGGGAGGAGGACCAAGGCAUUAUAUAUAGGACUUAGCCACCACCAUAGAAGGGGGACCGAAACCAGAACAAGUAGAGCACCACACCAGCUCAAGAACACCUCACCUCCUGAGACUUGUUCAUCCUUUGUAACUAGUUCAUCCGUAGCCCCUCGAGGCAAUCCACCACACCACAUUAGAGUAGGGUAUUACACCACAACGGUGGCCCGAACUAGUAUAAAUCUCUAUGUCUUUGUGUCUCUGUGGGCUCUUCGCGCUAGGCUAGGGAGGAUCGCGAGUAGGAAGGCUGGGUAGGUUGAGAUCUCCACAUGCACCCAAGUGUUCAAACCUUUCACGGGUUGCCGGAUCCCGAAAUCCGACACACUAGCCACUGGAUUAGUGUAUAUUUGUACUAUUCGGAUGGUGCUGCAUUAGCAUAUGGACAUAUAUAAAGUGUGGCAAGCUUUCCCAGAUAUGUGCUCAACAAAACUACUACCUAUUUUUCUAAAUACUAGACGUUUGGGUACUUUAAAUUGAACUGCGAAAAUGUCUUAUAUUAAGGAACAUAUGGUGUAGAGUUCACUCAAAUUAUCCCGGUAAAGCUAGUCACACCUUUGUUUAAAUUAAUGUCCAUUAUGUUAUUGGAGGAGGUCUGUAUGUUUGUCUCUAAUGCUUGUCGAUUACAUACCUGACAUCAUGAUGUAAUGUUAAGUCAUUUCUUUUUAUACAGUGUCACUGAAUUGUCAAGGUGGUGAUGGCAUUUUAUUUUAGUUGAUCUGCACAAAAUAUGCUUAAAAGAAGAGGAAAGGUCAGGAAUGGUUCAAUUUUUAAGAAAAAAUUAUGUAUGCCUUCCUCACACCAGCUGUUGUUGCCUUAUUUAUUCCUUCAAACAGGUGGUUAGAAACAGUCUUGCCACCUUUUCCCAUUAAGAAAUUGGAAUGCUUAUAUUUGUGAGUCUAAGCUUCAUCUAGUGCCACUUUUAUAGUAAUCACACUUCCAUUGUCUAUGCAAACAGGGGUGCUCGAUUUUAGUGGAACUGCACAAAAAAUCCAAAUGGUUCAACAUUAGGAGCAUGUUUUAUUCCAAACCUUUAUAUACAAUUGGCGGCACUAUGAGCUAUUCAUUACGAAGGUACAUGGUUUGCUACUAUCUUGAUGCUCUUUUUGUACUGUCAUUAGAUAGUAAUAUUAGUGGUUUGCAUGUGAAUUUAUUGGCAGGGUGGACCUACAUUGGAGGUCCAGGACAUGAUUCAAUGAUUGGAUGCUUAACUUCGGUUGUAUUAAUUUCACCUCUUCCAUCAUUGCGAACAUGGAUAUCUUUGGUCCGAUGAAGAAUAGGCGCUAUAUUUCUGCUCUGUACCAACAAAUCAAUUCAGUACAAAAUUUUCCAGGGCAAAACAUGACAGUAUCAAAUUUUCUAGUGCAAAACAUGACAGAUACUAAGCGGAAGAGGCGUGUUUAAACCAAAAAUACAAGGUGGGGUAUAUGUUUACUAGUUGGUUCAAAUUUGUGCAGACAGAUGUCUGCCCGUUGCUAUUUGGCAAACAAACAAAGUGACCACAAUUUUGGUGGAACUGCAUAGAAGAGUAGUAUAGUCAUUGCAUGUAGUGCCAUUUGAAAAUAGACACAGAAGGAUUGGAUAGUCACUUCAUGGACUGCACAAAAGUAGUACUAUACUAUUUAUUGGCCAACACUAGGUGCUUCAUUGCUUUGGUCUGAUUAUAAAAUGGGCAUCAGUUUGCCAAAGUUAAAGUUUGUAUUCUGAAAAUAGUCUCGCUGUGUGAUCGAGAGAAGACCAAAUCAUAUCGCAGUGGAUGUUCCUCCGUCAUGUGUGGUUCAUUCUCAUGGUUCCAGCUGUUGGUGAAACAACUUACGUUUGCAAGAGGAAUUGUGGACUUCACAAACAAAUUUGUCUUUCACUCUGUACUGAAUGUUGGCCCAGAGAAGCAUCCAUGUUACUAGGAAGAACAUAUGUUUUUUCUAGAUCUUUGCUUUUGGAGCUACAUAUUUGUAUAUGAUCUGUGAAUCAUUGAGAUGCAUUAACAUGUUACUAGUUGGUUGUGAAUUUGGGCUACUAAUGUGAACAUAUUACAAUGCCAGGCCUGUGAGUCUCAUGUGAACAUUUCGAAUGGAUCGGCUCUUACUACUGUGCACAACAUGAUCAAGAUUAUGUUCUCAGUGUUUACAAGUUACUAGCAGUUCCUUAUUUCUAUCCGCUCAAUGUUUACAAGUUACUUAUCAAUCACUAGCUAGCCUACUAAUACGCUCCUGGCAGUUUUAGUUGCGAUGCAAGAUCCAAAGGUGGCAGUUUUUUGAAUAAAAAUGCCUACCUCUCUAGAAACUGACAAGCUGUUCUGAAGAAAAUGCCAUGCAAAUCUGGAGAAACUGCCAACAAAAACGUUCACAAAUGCCUUAUCUCCCAGCGGACAUUCAUCAGCUAAUGCGAUCCUACACGUACACUAUCCAACCUACUCGAUCCUACACGUACACUAUCUGACCUACUCGAUCCUACAUGAAUAAAUAGCAGAUCCCGCACGAACUACCUCCUUUCCAGUUUGCAGGGCUCAAUUCAACACCAACCAAGGUAGAUGAUGAGUGGUGGAAUAAUUUUUGACAAGGAGGGAGUACCUCAUCUGGAUGAUUCGAGUGCACUCGUUUGACCGUCAUGGUGAUGUGCGACCCAGCAAGAAUGGGACGCACCACUGACGGGACAGGACGACACAUUAGUUUUUCCAGUUUUCCAUGGUAAGCUGGCAUGCUAAGCCAUGCCUGCUUAUGCAUUGAAUUCUGAUGACCGUCGCGUUUCCCGCGACAUGCUGCUUCACCUACCUUCCACCUAUAAUUACUGGUUCUCAGCGUUCUCUGGUAGCACUGUCACCCAGCUCGCCCUAUCGGCUCCCCUCAUGACCCCCACCGUCCCGACAUCGCUCGCCACUUGCCCUCGCUCUCGCCACAUUCAUCAUGCCCCCGACCGUCCACAAUAGGCGAUGCCAAAGGCACUCACCGCUGGAGCUAGUGUUCGGUUAUUCACAGGAAGGAGGACAGAGGGAGGAGGCAUCCUAUCGGUCUUUAGAUGGCAAUGUGGAGUACAAGGACUUGUUGGAGCGUGACCACCUGGCGGAGGAGCAGUGUAUCACCGAUUUGCACCGCCAGUGGGGCAUGGAGCAGCAUCACACCGCCGCUUUGAAUCGUGAGCAGAGUGCCCGUGGCUGGGCCGACUACAUGGAGGCUAGAGCCCGACAAAUAGCCCUAGAAGCUGUCGGGCACGCAUGUGUGCGCGACGCCAAAUUUUACUACCAGCUCGUCAAGUGGGUUUCCUGCUUAGAAGCUGAAGCUUCGGUGGACCAUGCUGGCAUGGAAAGGGCCAACGCACGCGAGCAACGCACCCUAUCGCACCUCCGGCAAGUCCGAGGCAAGGAGGAGGACGUCGGUGCCGGCAUUUAGCGUAUACCACAGAUGGCGGCCGACAUCGUCUAGUUAGCUAGGAGUAAGUCAGUACUUGUACACUAGAUUAUUAGUAGGAGUAGAUAGUUAACUUGGCUAUGAUGGUUGUCAACAUGGAAGUUCAGCACUCUAUAUCUAAUCAGACAUGUUACUUUGCUCUUGAAUGUUGAACUUCCGUGUGAACGUAUGGAAUGGGUUGUUAUUUUUUUAAAUGGGUUGUAUUUGUCCACCACGGGUUUAGAGGCUGACUUCUGAGCCUACUAGGUUGAAGCAUACACAACCAGGAGAUGAUUGUACAUGGAGAGGAUGACAGGAGGGACCCACCAGGUUCAUGGCAGUACGCAAGCAAGUGUGUUGGGGAUAUGACUAUUGGGUAUGACCCGCCCAGGAGGUGCCGAGUCAUACCAGUGGCGGGUCAUAAUGAGAAGGCCCAAGAAGAUGUUGAAGAUGGCGGUUCAUGAAGCAAGCUUACUGAAGGCCCAAGACCCGGAGGAGACUUGAGGCCCACGGGCGUAAACCGCCAUAUGUUUAACUUGUAUGUUAAGGAAAGUGUAGAUCUGUCACCGAGCCGGACACGUUGUGUAUGAGCCGGCCGGGACUCUGUAAGCCGCCGGGCAUCAGCCUGCGUAUAUAAAAGGGGUGACCCGGCGGAGGUUUAGGUCAAGCGUAUUCGCUCCCUGGUAAUCAAAACCCAAGCAAUACAACCUAAAGUAGGAGUAGGCCUUUACCUUGUUGCGAGGUGCUGAACCUGGGUAAAACUCUCUGUGUCCCUUGUCUCGUAUUAACCCCUUCAAGCUAACCACAUUCCGAUGGCUCCACACCUAAGUUCUUAUGCUAGGGCAUCUGCCAUGACAAUUCCACGAUAGUUGGUGCCCACCGUGGGGCCAGCGCACAGUGGUUUCGAGUUCUUGAUGGGCAGCUUCGCAGGACUCAAGGGAUACGCUGUGGGCCGGAUGAUGAAGAGUUGUCGCGGCAAGCUCUACAUCGACGACGCAGGCUGGGGCCUUGAGGCCGACUCAAUCGAGUACGGAUAUCGGGUCCCCUUUGAUGGAAUCCAUGUCUUCAUUGGCAAGAUUGGUGAAUCGGAAGCUGAGCCGGACAUCUGCACCGACAUCGUCAAGACGGCUCAGCGCGUGUGACCCACCAGGGUUCAAGCCGCCCCGAAGCAUGUCUUUGUUGGCUUUACUCAAGGAGUGGAUCUAGGAGGAGGAUCUGAGUCUGGUGGUGAGACGGCCAUCUAUUCAGGCGAUGAGUCCUCAACCAGCGAGACCAAUUCCAUCUAUCAGGUUCAGGAUGGUGUGCUCGGGGGCUGUCCCAGUGGUGGCAGUAUUCCAGACCCCUACGAGCCACCACACAGGGUUGCGAUCUUCAUGGCCGGUACACAGCCAGGGCAGGAUUCUUCAACUACAGCAGCGAUGAUCUCUGGUUCAGCAAUGACAAUGGCAGCCGGGGCAGGAGGCCUUGUGCGCCUGCCGGCUCAAGUCUUAUCCGAUCUAUUGGAUGCUCUAGCAACGCUGUUAACCGCAGAGAUAAACUCGGCAGAUCAAACGCAGCAUAACGCAGACGCUGCAAAGUUACGUGAUGAGAUAGCGCAAGCCAAGGAGGAUCUAAACACUGAGAACACCUGGAUGGCGAAAGAGUGAGCCGCCUUGUAGAGGGAGGUGGAACGGCUUCAAGCAGAGAAUUUGCGGUUGAGCUUAGACUAGGACGCAUCAAAUGCCGUCUUCAGCAGAAGGCAUGUGAGUCGAUUACCUCCGGUUUACGAUGUGAGGAAUGUUUUCAACAUGCCUGGGGCAGGAACCAGUAACCCUCCUAGUGUGGAUCGGGCCAUUCAGGCGCCGGCGGCCGGAGCGCCGGUUCAGCCUAGUGCUGCAGAACCCCCAUGUUUGAAUUUGACCUCUCAGCACGUUCCAAUGCCCCCGGGUAAUUUUUCUAAUCCUUUGGAUAACAUGAUAGAUGGGGCUACUCGACUGGCGGCUCUCCCGGUUCAGGAUGAGUCGCCAGCGGUGAUGGAAAUACAGAGAGUAGGAGAAACUCUUCAGACAGUAGUGGCCCAACACGCGGCUUAUUCAUAUAGUCAUGAUCGAAUUCACUCAACCCCACGUCCAAGCCGGAGCUAUAGCAGGCACAUUGAUGAGCCGGCUGUAUCGAGCAGUGAGCGGCACCGUAAUCAACCCCGUCAGCCUGACCCGCUGCACGCUGGUAAUGAUUCUCAGGCUUUGGUGGACCAGGGGAGGGCGCGACGUGAGGUAGAGCUGGCGGCUUAGUUGGCGGCUCAACAACAAUCUCCGGUUUAUCCGUCUGCAUAUGUGGAGGCAGGAGUGACCUCUAGAACUUUGGGUGUGCCAUGUUUAGUGCCGGCUCUACAUAAUGACCGCUUGCCUAAGGAUUUCAAGGGCCCCCAUAAGGUGCCUAACUACACAACGGAUCAACCCCCAGAGGCUUGGGUUGAGAGUUAUGAGAUGGCUAUGGAGAUGCUGGAUGUCAGUGAUGCUGCAUGUGCUAAGUAUAUUACCAUGUUGUUGGAUGGGCCAGCUCGUACUUGGUUGAAAGGCCUACCCGCUAACUCCAUUAGGUCAUGGGCAAAGUUGAAGAAGUGAUUUAUUCAAAAUUUUAAAGACACGUGCAAGCAGCCUAUGUCGAUUCUGGAUUUGGAUUCUUGCAUCCAAGGUGAAGGUGAAUCAACAACCAAUUGGGUGUGCCGGAUCUUAGCUGUUAUACACUCAUCGAACAGUAUCAACGCCGAUUCAGCAGUCCUGAUGUUAGAGAAGAAUUGUCGUUUUCUUCCCCUUAAGCAAAAAUUGGGGCGGCUUAAGCGUAAUUGUAAUGACAUGGGGAAGCUCAUGGUAGCUCUCGUCAAAUAUGCCGACUCUGAUAGCACGAAAGGCCCUGAGUCUGAUGAGGAGAAGGUUGGAAAGGGAAGAAGAGUGGCAAUGCAAAGGGACAGCAUAACACGGCGAGUCAAGGUGGCAAUGGUAAAUGUAAGGCAGAUGGUGGUUUAGACAUAGUGGCUAACACUAAUACGCAGAGUCAUAACCAGCAUUGUAAGGGUAAAAUGCAAGCGCCCCGGUUUGGAUGGCCGAAGUUCAACCUUGAGGCCAUGAUGAAUCAGCCUUGUCUGAAGCACGGAACCCAGGAUAAGCCGGCCAGUCAUUUGUGGAAGGAUUGCUUCAUCAUGAGGGAGUAUAGAAACUCUAAUUAUUUCUAGAACAAUCAUGGCCCGCAUGGCGGUUCAGGUUCCGGCUCUCAUGGACCUGGUUUUGGAGGUGGCGGUUCAAGCUCUAGCUUUUAAGGCCAAGGUAAUCAAGGUGGUUUCAAUUAGCAAUCUGGUCAAGGGAAUCGGCAGCAGCAGUCUGGUUAUCAGAGUAAUCCAAAGCAACUGAAUAGUGGUCAAUAUCAUGUGUUCACCACGAGCCUGUGCAAGCGAGAUCAGAAAAUCCAUAAGCAGGCGGUGAAUUUAGUUGAGCCGGUGGUGCCUCAUUAUUUGAGGUGGUCUGAGCAGCCUAUUGUAUGGAGCCGGGAGGAUCACCCACCUUGGGUUGACAAUCUAGGUCAGUUGGCAUUGGUGGUUUCUCCUCAAGUAGGAGGGUAUAAGCUUACAAAGGUGCUCAUGGAUGGGGGCAGCAGUAUCAAUAUCCUUUACUAUGAGACUUUUCGUCAUAUGAAUUUGACUGACAAAGAUCUUAAGGCGUCUUCUACAGUUUUCCAUGGGGUGGUGCCUGGUAAGUCAGUGUAUCCAGUGGGUGAGAUAACACUGGAGGUAGCUUUGGGAGAUGACCAUGAUUCCAGAGCUGAGAAAUUGAUCUUUGAGGUGGUUAAGAUCAAAAGCCCAUACCAUGCUUUGUUUGGGCGACCGGCUUACGCCAAGUUUAUGGCACGACCGUGUUAUGUUUAUUUGCAGCUUAAAAUGUCGGCUCAUAAGGGCACCAUCACGAUGCAUGGUGAUAGAAAGAUUGCUUUGGAUUGUGAAGAAGGUGAUGCUGCAUAUGCUGAGUCGGCUGGUGCUACAAAGGAGUUGAAGUUUUAUAAAGACAAUGGACCCGACGGAUAUGACGCCUUUGAAGAAGCCAACUACAGAAAAUGACCCCCUGUUGAAGUUUAAUCGGCAGAUGACACUAAGUUGGUUUAUUUUGUGCCCCGCGACUCGUCCAAGCAGUUCAACAUCAAUGCUAAUAUGGAUCAAAAAUAGGAAAGCACGCUCAUUGAGUUCAUCCGUGAGAACCGGGACAUCUUUGCAUGGAAACCUUCUGACAUGCCAGGUGUACCGAGGGAACUCGCUGAGCACACUCUUAAUGUGGAUCCAAAGUUUAAGCCGGUCAAGCAAUUUCUUCGUUGUUUUAAUGAAGAGAGACGAAAGGCAAUUGGUGAAGAAGUUGAAGGAAAUAUGCCCUAGAGGCAAUAAUAAAGUUAUUAUUUAUUUCCUCAUAUCAUGAUAAAUGUUUAUUAUUCAUGCUAGAAAUGUAUUACACGGAAACAUAAUACAUGUGUGAAUACAUAGACAAACAUAGUGACACUAGUAUGCCUCUACUUAACUAGCUCGUGAAUCAAAGAUGGUUAAGUUUCCUAACCAUAGACAUGAGUUGUCAUUUGAUUAACGGGAUCACAUCAUUAGGAGAACGAUGUGAUCGACUUGACCCAUUCCGUUAGCUUAGCACUUGAUCGUUUAGUAUGUUGCUAUUGCUUUCUUCAUGACUUAUACAUGUUCAUAUGACUAUGAGAUUAUGUAACUCCCGCUUACCGGAGGAACACUUUAUGUGCUACCAAAUGUCACAACGUAACUGGGUGAUUAUAAAGGUGCUCUACAGGUGUCUCCAAAGGUACUUGUUGAGUUGACGUAUUUCGAGAUUAGGAUUUGUCACUCCGAUUGUCGGAGAGGUAUCUCUGGGCCCUCUCGGUAAUGCACAUCACUAUAAGCCUUGCAAGCAAUGUAGCUAAUGAAUUAGUUACAGGAUGAUGCAUUACGUAACGAGUAAAGAGACUUGCCAGUAACGAGAUUGAACUAGGUAUUGAGAUACCGAUGAUCGAAUCUCGGGCAAGUAACAUACCGAUGACAAAGGGAACAAUGUAUGUUGUUAUGCGGUUUGACCAAUAAAGAUCUUCGUAGAAUAUGUAGGAGCCAAUAUGAGCAUCCAGGUUCCGCUAUUGGUUAUUGACCGGAGACGUGUCUCGGUCAUGUCUACAUAGUUCUCGAACCCGUAGGGUCCGCACUCUUAAAGUUAGAUGACAGUUAUAUUAUGAGUUUAUGUGUUUUGAUGUACCAAAGGUUGUUCGGAGUCCCGGAUGAGAUCACGGACAUGACGAGGAGUCUCGAAAUGGUCGAGACAUGAAGAUCAAUAUAUUGGACGACUAUAUUUGGACACCUGAAAGGUUUCGGGUGAGAUUGGGACAAUACCGGAGCUCCGGGAGGUUACCGGAACCCCCCGGGAGGUAUAUGGGCCUUAGUGGAAAGGAGGGUAAAGGAGCAAGGGAGGGGGCGCCCCCCCCAAGCCCAAUCCGAAUUGGGAGGCCCCCCCUUUUCCUUCCUCACUCCUCCUCUUCCUUCCCUCUCCCUCUCCAAAUAGGAAAGGAAGGAGUCCUACUCCCGGUGGGAGUAGGACUCCCCCCUUGGGCACGCCUCUCCCCUUGGCUGGCCCCCUCCUCCACUCCUUUAUAUACGGGGGAGGGGGGCACCCCAUAGACACAACAAUUGAUCAUUGAUCUCUUAGCCGUGUGCGGUGCCCCCCUCCACCAUAGUCCUCCUCGAUAAUAUCAUAGCGGUGCUUAGGCGAAGCCCUGCGUCGGUAGAACAUCAUCAUUGUACCACGCCGUCAUGCUGACAGAGCUCUCCCUCGACACUCGGCUGGAUCGGAGUUCGAGGGACGUCAUCGAGCUGAACGUGUGCAAGAACUCGGAGGUGACGUGCUUUCGGUGCUUGAUCGGUCGGGCCGUGAAGACGUAGGACUACAUCAACCACGUUGUGCUAACGCUUCCGCUUUCAGUCUACGAGGGUACGUGGACACACUCUCCCCUCUCGUUGCUAUGCAUCACCAUGAUCUUGUGUGUGCGUAGGAUUUUUUUUGAAAUUGCUACAUUCCCCAACAGUGGCAUCCGAGCCUAGGUUUUAUGCGUUGAUGUUAUAUGCACGAGUAGAACACAAGUGAGUUGUGGGCGAUACAAGUCAUACUGCUUACCAGCAUGUCAUACUUUGGUUGGGUGGUAUUGUUGGAUGAAGCGGCUCGGACCGACAUUACGCGUACGCUUACGCGAGACUGGUUCUAUCGACGUGCUUUGCACAUAGGUGGCUGGCGGGUGUCAGUUUCUCCAACUUUAGUUGAACCGAGUGUGGCUACGCCCGGUCCUUGAGAAGGUUAAAACAUCACUAACUUGACGAACUAUCGUUGUGGAUUUGAUGCGUAGGUAAGAACGGUUCUUGCUAAGCCCGUAGCAGUCACGUAAAACUUGCAACAACAAAGUAGAGGACGUCUAACUUGUUUUUGCAGGGCAUGUUGUGAUGUGAUAUGGUCAAGACGUGAUGCUAUAUUUUAUUGUAUGAGAUGAUCAUAUUUUGUAACCGAGUUAUCGGCAACUAGCAGGAGCCAUAUGGUUGUCGCUUUAUUGUAUGCAAUGCAAUCGCCCUGUAAUUGCUUUACUUUAUCACUAAGCGAUAGCGAUAGUCGUAGAAGCAAUAGUUGGCGAGACGACAACGAUGCUACGAUGGAGAUCAAGGUGUCGCGCCGGUGACGAUGGUGAUCAUGUCGGUGCUUCGGAGAUGGAGAUCACAAGCACAAGAUGAUGAUGGCCAUAUCAUAUCACUUAUAUUUAUUGCAUGUGAUGUUUAUCUUUUAUGCAUCUUAUCUUGCUUUGAUUGACGGUAGCAUUAUAAGAUGAUCUCUCACUAAAUUUCAAGAUAAAAGUGUUCUCCCUGAGUAUGGACCGUUGCCAAAGUUCCUCGUGCCCAGACACCACGUGAUGAUUGGGUGUGAUAAGCUCUACGUCCAUCUACAACGGGUGCAAGCCAGUUUUGCACACACAGAAUACUCAGGUGAAACUUGACGAGCCUAGCAUAUGCAGAUAUGGCUUCGGAACACUGAGACCAAAAGGUCGAGCGUGAAUCAUAUAGUAGAUAUGAUCAACAUAGUGAUGUUCACCAUUGAAAACUACUCAAUUUCACGUGAUGACCGGUUAUGGUUUAGUUGAUUUGGAUCACGUGAUCACUUAUAUGAUUAGAGGGAUGUCUAUCUAAGUGGGAGUUCUUAAGUAAUAUGAUUAAUUGAACUUAAAUUUAUCAUGAACUUAGUACCUGAUAGUAUUUUGCUUAUCUAUGUUUGUUGUAGAUAGAUGGCUCGUGCUGUUGUUCCGUUGAAUUUUAAUGCGUUCCUUGAGAAAGCAAAGUUGAAAGAUGAUGGUAGCAAUUACACGGACUGGGGCAACUUGAGGAUUAUCCUCAUUGCUGCACAAAAGAAUUACGUCAUGGAAGCACCGCUAGGUGCCAAACCUGCUAUAGGAGCAACACCAGAUGUUAUGAAUGUCUGGCAGAGCAAAGCUGAUGACUACUCAAUAGUUCAGUGUGCCAUGCUUUACGGCUUAGAAUCGGGACUUCAACGACGUUUUGAACGUCAUGGAGCAUAUGAGAUGUUCCAGGAGUUGAAGUUAAUAUUUCAAGCAAAUGCCCGAAUUGAGAGAUAUGAAGUCUCCAAUAAGUUCUACAGCUGCAAGAUGGAGGAGAAUAGUUCUGUCAGUGAGCAUAUACUCAGAAUGUCUGGGUAUAACAAUCACUUGAUUCAACUGAGAGUUAAUCUUCCGGAUGAUAGCGUCAUUGAUAGAAUUCUUCAAUCACUGCCACCAAGCUACAAGAGCUUCGUGAUGAACUAUAAUAUGCAAGGGAUGGAUAAGACAAUUCCCGAGCUCUUCGCAAUGCUAAAGGUUGCGGAGGUAGAAAUCAAGAAGGAGCAUCAAGUGUUGAUGGUCAAUAAGACCACUAGUUUCAAGAAAAAGGGCAAAGGGAAAAAGAAAGGGAACUUCAAGAAGAACAACAAGGAAGUUGCUGCUCGAGAGAAGAAAUCCAAGUUUGGACCUAAGCCUGAGACUGAGUGCUUCUACUUCAAGCAGACUGGUCACUGGAAGCGGAACUGCCCCAAGUAUUUGGCGGAUAAGAAGGAUGGCAAGAUGAACAAAGGUAUAUGUGAUAUACAUGUUAUUGAUGUGUACCUUACCAGAGCUUGCAGUAGCACCUGGGUAUUUGAUACUGGUUCCGUUGCUAAUAUUUGCAACUCGAAACAGGGACUACGGAUUAAAUGGACACUGGCUAAGGACGAGGUGACGAUGCGCAUGGGAAAUGGUUCCAAAGUCGAUGUGAUCGCCGUCGGCACGCUACCUCUACAUCUACCUUCAGGAUUAGUUUUAAACCUAAAUAAUUGUUAUUUGGUGCCAGCAUUGAGCAUGAACAUUAUAUCUGGAUCUUGUUUGAUGCGAGACGGUUAUUCAUUUAAAUAUGAGAAUAAUGGUUGUUCUAUUUAUAUGAGUAAUAUCUUUUAUGGUCAUGCACCCUUAAAGAGUGGUCUAUUUUUGAUGAAUCUCUAUAGUAGUGCUACACAUAUUCAUAAUGUUGAAGCCAAAAGAUGCAGCGUUGAUAAUGAUAGUGCAACUUAUUUGUGGCACUGCCGUUUAGGUCAUAUUGGUGUAAAGCGCAUGAAGAAACUCCAUACUGAUGGACUUUUGGAAUCACUUGAUUAUGAAUCACUGGGUACUUGCGAACCAUGCCUCAUGGGCAAGAUGACUAAAACGCCGUUCUCCGGAACUAUGGAGCGAGCAACUGAUUUGUUGGAAAUCAUACAUACUGAUGUAUGUGGUCCAAUGAAUGUUGAUGCUCGCGGCGGAUAUCGUUAUUUUCUCACCUUCACAGAUGAUUUGAGCAGAUAUGGGUAUAUCUACUUAAUGAAACAUAAGUCUGAAACAUUUGAAAAGUUCAAAGAAUUUCAGAGUGAAGUUGAAAAUCAUCGUAACAAGAAAAUAAAGUUUCUACUAUCUGAUUGUGGAGGAGAAUAUUUGAGUUACGAGUUUGGUUUACAUUUGAAGCAAUGCGGAAUAGUUUCGCAACUCACGCCACCCGAAACACCAUAGCGUAAUGGUGUGUCCGAACGUCGUAAUCGUACUUUACUAGAUAUGGUGCGAUCUAUGAUGUCUCUUACUGAUUUACCGCUAUCGUUUUGGGGUUAUUCUUUAGAGAUGGCCGCAUUCACGUUAAAUAGGGCACCAUCAAAAUCCAUUGAGACGACGCCUUAUGAACUGUGGUUUGGCAAGAAACCAAAGUUGUCGUUUCUUAAAGUUUGGGGCCGCGAUGCUUAUGUGAAAAAGCUUCUACCUGAUAAGCUCGAACCUAAUCGGAGAAAUGUGUCUUCAUAGGAUACCCAAAGGAAACUGUUGGGUACACCUUCUAUCACAAAUCCGAAGGCAAGACAUUUGUUGCCAAGAAUGGAUCCUUUCUAGAGAAGGAGUUUCUCUCGAAAGAAGUGAGUGGGAGGAAAGUAGAACUUGAUGAGGUAACUGUACCUGCUCCUUUAUUGGAAAAUAGUUCAUCACAGAAACCGGUUCCUGUGAUGACUACACCAAUAAGUGAGGAAGCUAAUGAUGUUGAUCAUGAAACUUCAGAUAAAGUUACUACAGAACCUCGUAGGUCAACCAGAGUAAGAUCCGCACCAGAGUGGUACGGUAAUCCUAUUCUGGAGGUCAUGUUAUUUGACCAUGGCAAACCUACGAACUAUGAGGAAGCGAUGAUGAGCCCAGAUUCCGCAAAAUGGCUUGAGGCCAUGAAAUCUGAGAUGGGAUCCAUGUAUGAGAACGAAGUGUGGACUUUGGUUGACUUGCCCGAUGAUCGGCAAGCCAUCGAGAAAAAAUGGAUCUUCAAGAAGAAGACUGAUGCUGAUGAUAAUGUUACUGUCUACAAAGCUCGACUUGUUGCGAAAGGUUUUAGACAAGUUCAAGGGGUUGACUACGAUGAGACUUUCUCACCCGUAGCGAUGCUUAAGUCUGUCCGAAUCAUGUUAGCAAUUGCCGCAUUUAUGAUUAUGAAAUUUGGCAAAUGGAUGUCAAAACUGCAUUCCUGAAUGGAUUUCUGGAAGAAGAGUUGUAUAUGAUGCAACCAGAAGGUUUUGUCGAUCCAAAGGAUGCUAACAAAGUGUGCAAGCUCCAGCUAUCCAUUUAUGGACUAGUACAAGCCUCUCGGAGUUGGAAUAAACGCUUCGAUAGUGUGAUCAAAGUAUAUGGUUUUUAUGGACUUUUGGAGAAGCCUGUAUUUACAAGAAAGUGAGUGGGAGCUCUAUAGCAUUUCUAAUAUUAUAUGUGGAUGACAUAUUAUUGAUUGGAAAUGAUAUAGAAUUUCUGGAUAGCAUAAAAGGAUACUUGAAUAAAAGUUUUUCAAUGAAAGACCUCGGUGAAGCUGCUUACAUAUUGGGCAUCAAGAUCUAUAGAGAUAGAUCAAGACGCUUAAUUGGACUUUCACAAAGUACAUACCUUGAUAAAGUUUUGAAAAAGUUCAAAAUGGAUCAAGCAAAGAAAGGGUUCUUGCCU
Molecule: long non-coding RNA, 52244 nt
Filed under: Triticum aestivum (bread wheat)
Lineage: Eukaryota; Viridiplantae; Streptophyta; Magnoliopsida; Poales; Poaceae
Description: long non-coding RNA (TAES_LNC016498)
Source: RNAcentral